This 64101-nucleotide long non-coding RNA is filed under the name Citrus maxima (pomelo). RNAcentral describes it as "long non-coding RNA (CMAX_LNC002516)". The stretch from base 51081 to 51184 matches the Rfam family "Plant small nucleolar RNA R71". The record is from RNAcentral. Lineage: Eukaryota; Viridiplantae; Streptophyta; Magnoliopsida; Sapindales; Rutaceae.
AAAUUACCACCCGGCCCCUGGGGCCUUCCCUUAAUCGGUAACUUACACCAGUUUGAUGUCUCAAAGCCUCAAGUGUCAUUUUGGGAGCUGUCACGGAAAUAUGGCCCCCUCAUGUCCUUGCGUCUUGGUUUUGUGCCAUCCCUAGUAGUUUCCUCAGCAAAAAUGGCUAAAGAGAUAUUAAAAACCCAUGAUCUUCAAUUUUGUAGCAGGCCAGCCUUGGUAGGACAACAAAAGUUAUCUUACAAUGGUCUUGAUUUGGUAUUUUCACCCUAUGAUGAAUAUUGGAGAGAGAUAAGAAAAAUUUGUGUCAUUCAUCUCUUUAACUCUAAUAGGGUACAAAAUUUUCGACCCAUUAGAGAAGAUGAAGUUUCAAGAAUGAUUGAAAAGAUUUCAAAAUCAGUUGCUGCUUCUAAUCCCGUAAACUUAAGUGAGGUAAUGAUGUCUCUUACCAGCACCAUUAUUUGUAGAAUUGGUUUUGGCAAGAGGUACGAUGAAGAUAAAGCAACAAGUGGAAGAAGUAGAUUCCAUGCCAUGCUUAAUGAAACUCAAGCCUUGUUUGUAAGCUUUUUUGUUACAGAUUAUUUUCCUUUCAUGGGCUGGAUUGAUAAGCUCACAGGAAUGAUGCAACGCCUGCAAAAUAACUUCCAAGAAUUCGAUAGAUUCUACCAGGAACUCAUCAACGAGCAUUUGGAUCCAAACAGAACUAAAUCAGAAUUGCCGCAACCGGAGGAUAUAAUUGAUAUUUUACUUCAAAUACGAAAAGAUCGUGGAUUUAAAGUUGACUUGACUUUGGAUCACAUCAAAGCAGUGCUCAUGGUGAAUAAUUUUAUAAAUAGUUAUAUGUAGACUCGUGCUUAGGCGCAGACUCAAAAUUUUGCGCAGAUACCCAAUUUUACAGUCUUGUAAAAUGUUUUAUAAUGCUGUAAAGUGCCCUUUGACGUCCACCUGAGCAUGAUUAAUUUAAUAUAAUUUUAUUUGCUUUUAAGUAAUUUAAUAUGUAUAUAUGUAUGUUGUUUGUUUUGCAGAACGUAUUCGUUGCUGGAACAGACACGAGUGCAGCAACUGUGGUUUGGGCCAUGACUUACCUAAUGAAGAAUCCUAGAGCAAUGAAAAAAGUUCAACAGGAAAUCAGAUCGUUGAUUGGGGGUAACAAAGGCUUUGUAAAUGAAGAUGAUGUUCAAGAACUACAUUAUCUUAAAGCGGUAGUGAAGGAGACAAUGAGAUUGCAACCCACAGUGCCAUUACUAGUCCCAAGAGAAACAAUUGAAAAGUGCGUAAUAGAUGGGUAUGAAAUACCAGCUAAAACACUUGUCUUUGUAAAUGCAUGGGCGAUAGGAAGAGACCCUGAAGCUUGGGAGAAUCCGGAGGAAUUUUAUCCGGAGAGAUUCGUUGAUAGCUUUAUUGACUUUAAAGGGCAACACUUUGAGUUAAUACCGUUUGGUGCUGGCAGAAGAAUUUGUCCUGGGUUGAAUAUGGGAAUCGCAACUGUGGAUCUUGCACUUGCUAAUCUUCUUUACAAAUUUGAUUGGGAAAUGCCGCCUGGAAUGAAGAGCCAAGACUUGGACUUUGAUGUUCUGCCUGGAAUUACUAUGCAUAAGAAGAAUGCUCUCUCUCUUUUGGCCAAGUAUCAUGAGUAGGUAAAUUAAGGCACCUUGGUCAAUAAGAGUUUGAUCUAAACUAAAUGUAUGUUAUAGAGAUUGCAUGUAUGUCCUCAAUUGUGCUUCUCAUGUUUCCUUUCUUUCUUCUUAUGUAUAAUGAAUGUUGAUGUCUAUGUGCCCAUAGGCUGAGUGGUUUUUAAUAAUUAAAUUUCUUUUAGUUCAAAAUUUUGGGAGGUAAGGACUAGAGAAUAAUGGUUACUCUGCUCACUCUCCUAUACUAAUAAAAAAAAAAGUUGAUAUGAAUGUGAAUAUUAAUCUACUACAUUCAUUUCGUCUCAUAUUUUUUCCCCUAUAUUUUUUGCUUUAGAUUUAACUUCUAUCACUUAAACUGCUAUCUUUUUAUAUGAUUGGAUAGAGAUUGAAAUUUUUGCUGUUCCAUCUCAAUGUUAAUGCUAAUUUUAUCUUCACACCUUUACUGUAAUUUUCUACUUUUACUAUUAGAUGCUGAUAGGGUCUUUUCUUGGAGAUUACUUUACCAAAAAAAGUCUGAAAGAAGAUUUUAUAUCGAUCGGAUAGCAAGCUUGUCCAUAUAGUUUAUGGAUUAUCUGCAAGAGCUCUUUUUAGUGCGCAUACGGUUGUCCCUUCAUGUUAGCAUAUUUAUUCUGUCAUCAAUGAACUUUUGCAUUUAAAUGGUAUCAGUUCAAGUGAUGAAUGAAUUUUACCUAUUGCCUAUCUUGGACUAAAUUUAAUUUCAAAAAAUGAGCUUCCAGCUUAUGACUUAUACGUAUCUUGAACUUUGGUUUUACGAUCACCGUUGGAUGGAAGAGUGGCUUGAGUUUGUUAAUUGCUUCAGUCCCAGGACUAGUGUUUGGAAACAUAAAAUUUAACACUCCCCAAAAUAAUUCAAUAUACAACCAACUCCGAUGAUCAACAUCCUCAACCAAAAUUCUAAGUUUUACUCAAGAUAUCUCCAGAGUCUCAAAAGAUAAUAUUAUAACUAAUAUUAAUAUACCUCAGUUUAUUCUUAAUCCCAAAAGAAUAAUAUAACAAAAUUAUACAAUCUAAAAAGAACAAGAUAACUAUGAUAUCCUAAUAAAAAAAAUCAUCUAUAUCUUCUAACACCAUCACGUGGCCAAGAUUCAAAAUAUAUUUACAGUCGCUGGGUCGGUUUGGUGUACCUGCAACCUCCUGGUGGGAGGAGGGAAUAGAAUAAAAGCGGGAUGAGUAUAAAACUCAGUGAGAUCAGUGAGUGGAUAGUAGUUUUCGAAAAAUUAAUUCUUACUUUAAAAGAAAUAAUUAUAUCAUUUCCAAACACGAUUUCAUCAAACCAUAUGCGAGAAACCAAUAAUAAAUCAUUUAACAUUUAAAUCAGAUUACUAAUCAUGAAAAUCAUAUAUAAUAUCAUGCCUAAUAACUAUGGAAAUCAUAUCACAAUAUCAUAUAAAAUACACAAAUCUGAAAAUCAUCACCAAACAAGUACCCAAGGGAAAAAUCUCGUCGUAUCCGGACCUCAACGGACGGGCAAUGACGUACUAUCUAGGUACUACCAUGCCCCAGAGCUACAUGGAUAGACAUGAAAAUACCAUCUCAUAUCUCAUCAUAUCUCAUUAUAUCUGUGCAUGCAUAAUCUAGUCCCCAAAGGAUAAAAUCGCCCAAGCACACGGCCCAAAGCCUCUGUGUGUACUCAGACGAAUUCCAAAGGCAUGUAUCUCAUCUAUAUCAUAUGUAUCUCAAUAUAUGUCUGUAUCUCAUAUUUGUAUCUCUAUAAUCAUCAUACCGCAUGCAUAUGCCCCCAAAAAGCAAAAGCGCCAAAACACACGGCCCAAAAUCUCUAUGUGUGUUUAGAUAGGCCCCAAAUGCCUCUUAUCUCAUCUGUAUCACUGUAUCUGGAGGGAAGGAUAUUGUCCAAUGAUUUUAAAAACAAUCUCUAUACUCAUAUUCAUAUACAUUCUAAUUAUACAUUUCUUUCUUUAUCACAUCUAAAUAUAUUUUUCUCAUCUUUAAAAUACUGUCAUAUUUUAUUCAAUGUUGAUACGAAAAAUCAUUAACCAAACAUUUUAAUAUAAUAUCAAUGCGUGUAUAAAAUCCAUUAUGAGGAAAUCAUUAAAUCAGAACAUUUAAAAUACUAUUUUCGCAAACGUGAUUUACUAUCAUAAUUAAUUAUGAAAAUAUGUUUUGUAUAUUUUACUCACAGCGACAGUGUUCACGCUCGGUUAUCGUCCACGUCUGCGAAUCGGUUCUCGCUCACAGAUCCUCCUAAAUAAAAGAAACGGCAUAAUUAUUUUCUGUAAAUCAGAAUUAAGACUAAAUUUAUGCAAUAAACUCGAAACGAACAUCUAUCCAUAAUUUACAACUCCCGUAUCGAUAGAAUUACUGAAAUACCCUCAAAUAUGUAAAUCGUUAAAAUACUCCAAAAUCGUAAAUUAUCGAAUUACCCUCGGAAUCGUAAUUACACCCAAUCCUCAAUUUCAGAAAUUACUAAAAUAUCCACAAGCUCAAAAAUUACAAAAUUACCCUCAGAGUGUGAAAUUACUGAAAUGUCAUUGUCGGUCAACGGUCACUGGAAUUUAGUCAACGCUGUCCGGGAAGCUCAAGUAUAAAAGUUCCAAUAACGCUGAGUCUAAUAGUGCCGGCGGUGAGGUCCCACAUGCGGCAACGACGCCGUGAAUUUCCAACAAUUGGCCGGCGGCGAAACAGUGACUCCCGGUGACUGUAGAUGGUCAGGAAUUGAAGAGGGAGUUGUGGGGAACAAAAGUGAGGUGGUGGCGUGGUCAAAUUCCAAUAGAAUCAACGGCAAUGGUAUGGGUUUUGGCCGCGGUUUCUCAAGCUUGAAACGGCGACGAUCCCGUCUGCUUUCAGCGACAAUGACGACUGGGUAUGAUGGCCGGUCUUCAAGCUUCAGAUUGGUACCAAGCUUGACCGGUGGGGUGGCCAGAAUCGCAAGAUAUGGCCGGGUCAAUUUCGGGUCAAAACGGUCGGGUUUUUGGGUCGGUUUUGACAGCUUCUCUCUCACUCUCUCACACGUGUGUCUCUGUUUCCCCUGUUUUCCAGCUUCCUCUUUCAUUUAUUUUAACUUUUUAACCGCCUCAUUUUUUUAUUUACUUUUUCACAUAUGUUACAGAAUAACUUAAUCUUUUGCUAUUUUAUUACGUUCAGUUUAUAUACAGCUGAUUCAUUGUAACAAAUGUUAUCAUAAAUAACCACUCGGGCAGUAGCCCGAGUGGCCAGGGCUGCUGCCCUCCAACAAGUUGGAGGGCAGCAGUUCGAACCCCCACAAAAAUAUUGUGGGGGUAUUUCUUUCCUCAAUUAAUUUGAGUGAAGGUAGUCUUCUCUCUUACCCAUGAGUGAGGAGUAGACAUCCCUCGAAUAUUUGUGAGGGUUAAAAUCUGGGCAGAGCUCCAUUAGCAUUGAUGUCAGUUGGUCCCAGUAAUAGUCUGAUUUGUAAAUAUCAGUAAUAGUCUCAUGUAUAUGAGUUGUAAUCUGAGCAAUAGUCUCAUGUAAUCAAAAAAAAAAAAUGUUAUCAUAAAUGAUUCUCGAGUAAUUUCAUUUAUUUACUUUUUCUUCUUUCACAGUUGGCCUGUACGGUAUCAUUUACUUUUAUCUUUUUUCAAAUUUCUUUUAAUCUAGAGAAUGUUUGUUUUAGUCCUGAUCUUGGGUUACUGAAAUGUUUCAUUCCCUUUUCCUAAGUAUUUUUGUUGCUUGUUUAGCGGGCAAUACUGCAACAGUGAUUUCAAUUCACAAAAUUCUGUAAAUACUUAUUAUUCUUAGUGUGGUUUUAAGGUAGAGUGAACUUAAUAUUAUCAUAAUGGCUUACAUCCCUCCACAUAUGAGGCAUACUACGGACCCCCAGAGGCCAUCUCCAGUUCCAGAGAUGAUUGUGCCUAAAUUCAACAGAAAAUUAAACUUGGGAUCAUCCAAGCAUAAUGCAGACAUGAGUGGAAAGAUCGUGUAUGCAGACCCUGCCAUACACAGGUUCUUCAUAUGUGGCUUGGAUAAUGAUAGCAGCACUCCUUCUGUCCGCUUUGUGGAGUUUUCAGACGACCCUGUUGAGCAUAAAAGAUCGACGACCAUUAAUCUGGCUCGAGGUUACUGAUCUGCAUUUGUAAUUUUAUCUUAAAUAUGUUCUACUUUCUUUCUUUAUUUAUAUCCGGUGCUAACUUUAGUUAUAAUGACAUUUGGAUUUUGGGUUGGUAGAUAACGAUAAAUUAUGUGGGAAUACGUCAAGAAGCCCGUGGGAAUCGAUGGCAGAAAAUGUAUGGCCAGAUGUAUUGAGUGCUUGUAACAUUGUCAAGAACGAAAUGGAGGAAAAGCCAACAAUGGUUGCUAGAUUUGGCCAUCAUCUUUUCCGUGAGUAUGUGAUCUGGUUCCAUUGCUGUAACAGCUUGAACUUUUUAUUAGGUCAUUCCUUUUCUUUGGACUUUGAAAUUAAAGCAGCAAAAAUGCAUGUUCAUACUAAAUUCUGACAGAAAUCUUAUGGUCAUAUAAGUGCUGGCAGCUAAAAUUAUGAGCUUUACCAUUAACCCUACCACCAGCUGUGGAUGACUGUAUAUCGGACCUCCAAGCCGGGGACAAAAGUUAAAAUUGCUUUUAAAAGCCAAAGAGGAAAAGAUUUGUAGAAAGAAGGAAAAAGAAAAUGGCAAUUUAUAGUGCAUGCACUUCUUUCAGACUUGUAUCUCAUAGAAGCUUUCAUGGCAUCUAGAAUUUGGCUUUGGCUUUGCGUAGGACAUUUCAAUUGUUGCUGGUGGAAACAAAUAUAUCCAUUGUCUUAGUAUUGCUUGAUUUCCGGUGCAAGAAACAAAUAAAUUUGUUGCCGUGGCCAAGUUUUGUUGUUUGAUAUUUCAUUGGGACAACAAAGUAUACCACUGCUUCGCCUAUUUCUUACAUCUUUGCAUCAUAUAUUUCCAUUCUUCUAUCACAUCUUUGAAGCUUCUACUAGUUCUCAUAUUAGAAGCGCCUCAAAGAAAUAAUUAUUAUAUUAUUCGUCUUAAUGAAGGAGUGACAUACUGAGCUUAGAAAAUGCAAAAGAAGGUCAGGUUGCUGAAUCUGCUUUGAGCCCACUGAGGAGAUGCUUUUACACUGGUGUCCCUCCUACAUACAUGGGAAAAAUUGUAAAUGAAGUUGUGCCAAAAAUUGGGGUUGGUUUUGUAGAGAACAAGGAUAUAUACCAUGUCAAGGUAGUUCUCCUGCAGUCCUGCUAAAUACUUUAGUAGUCAUCACCAAGUUUCUUUUAUCUCUCACUUAAUUAGCCAUUGAUUCCCCCCCUUCUUUUUCUUGUGUAGUUGUCUGAUGGCACACGACAAAUUACGUGCAAAUGUACUGUUAAAGAAGAUCAAAAGCUUCAUCUCUAUAAGGCAAGUCUUUUGCUACUGGCUGAGUAUUAUUUAUGGACAACGGGUCCAAGUUUAUAAGUUGCCUCUUGUGUUAAGGAGACUUUUGCUAGUGGAAACAUUGAAACAAGACUUAUGAUGUUUUGAAUUGAAUGAUAUAAUCUUUUCACUGUGAAUUAUGAAGGAGAUGUCGAAUAUAAGCGAUAGAUAUCAAGAAAGAGACGAAACCUUUGUGUCUCAAAAGAACCUUUUAGAAGUCUCUCCAGGAAUAAUCUCAGUUAAGAGGAAAAGAAUUAAAAUGAAAAGAAGGAAGAAAAUUCUCAAGAAGUAAGACUAAUUCUACAUCUAAUUGAGGAACAGGCUUGUUAAUUUAACAAGGAAAGCUCCAGUAGCUAUUUAUUAUAAACCAAUUAAAAAUUGAAUUAAAUUAAUAGUUAACUUGUAAUUGAAUGUCUAAUCCAACAAACUAUGCAUAAGAUUACAGAUGUAACUAUGUAAUACAAAAAACCUCUGCUUAUCGUAGACCAAAGUGAAUAUGCCAAUAUUUAGGAAUUUCUUUCAGCAUCAUGGGAUUUAGAUCCCUAUAAUUUUUUUUAUUUUAGUGUAGUGACAUCCGGAAGACCAGAAUUAUCACGUACCUCGUAGUAGUCAUUUUAUGUCUUUUAAAGCGCCACAUUAUUUCCCAUACAGUCAUAAUAUAUCUAUUUGUUGUUUAUUUAUUGUUGUCGUGUGUGGAGUCUCAUCUUGAAUAUGAACAUUUUUCCGGAAGGUCGAGCUGAACUCUGUUCGUCACAUGGUAGCAGACAUGUUAUGCGUUCAUAAAAAUCUAGACCUGAGGUUGGCACUAUGUUCAAAGAGUACCUUAUCUGCUCUCUCGGUAAGUCAAUCUGCUACUCUGUGCAUGUUUAGCUGGACUUUUAAGUUACGCCUUCUUUUUUCCCCUUUUUAUUUUUUUUUGGUCAUUUGCUUGUUGGAAUCAUCAUCAUUACAGAAUGAGGAAGAAAAAUUCAAGACCAGGGGAAAUAAGGAAAUAUUAAACUUAUAGCUUUUGUUUUAUCAUAGAAAGUUUACUUUCAAGGGGUUGAGAAAAAAAAAAAAUUAUAUAUAUAUAUAUAUAUAUAUAUAUAUAUACACAUACAUAUAUAUAUAUAGGGAUGGCAAAAUCCGGGUCUGGGUCCGGGUUUAGCCUUCCCGGUUCCGGACCCGGACGCCAUUUUCUUUCUCUCGGUCCCGGAUUAAAACCCGGUUUUUUCACUUCGGGUCCGGUACGGGUUCAACCCGAAAAAAUCCGGGUUUUGAACCCGGAUCAAUGAAUUAAUUUCUAUAAUUCCAAAAAUAAAAUCUUCAUAUGAAGAUGGCGAUUUUUCACUGGAACCAGAGAAAAUAUUUAUGGCACCUGGAGGGAGUUCCCUCUGUUUUGCAGAUCAUUUAUACAGAACAAAAUGAUUAAAUACCCAAAAAGGAGGAUCACAUGUCUGCAGAUUUGGCCCGCGGAAAAGAUUCAACACAAUCUCCAAAACCAUUUUAGAAUCCGCGAUGGUGAAGAUGCGUUGUCACAACUCAAACAACGACAGCCGAUGAUGAUGAAUACAGGAGCUACAAGGUUGCGACGGUGGUGAACCCAAGAGAACGAGUUGCGACGGUGGCGAACCAAGCUUGCGACGGUGGUGAACCCAAGAGAACGAGUUGCGACAGUGGCGAACCAAGCUUGCGACGGUGGUGAACCCAAGAGAACGAGUGGCGACGGCGGCAAACCAAGCUUGCGACGGUAGCAGCUUGGAUCGUAUGGUUGUUUGGUUGCAGCAAGCGGCAGCUUCAAUGUGUGAAUGUGAGUAUGUAAAUUAGGGUUUUUGUUAUGUUUGUAUUUAUAUUAAAUAAUAAAUAUAAUUAAAAAAUAAUAUUAAAAUAAGAUAUCCGGGUCCGGGUUCCGGAUAUACGGGUUACUCUAAACUCGGAAUCGGACCCGGAUCUAUCCGGGUCGUUAAAAUUCAUUCCGGAUCCGGAUUUUUUUACACUCCGGUACGGGUUCAACCCGGUCCGGAUUAUCCGGAUUCGUCCGGGUCCGAUCCGGGUCCGGGUUAUUCUGCCAUCCCUAUAUAUAUACAUACACACACGACAACAAUACAUAUAUAUACAAAAUUGUGAUAUCGUGCCACAGUUGCACUCAACCGUUGGAUUUCUAUGGACCCCACCUAUCUAAAUGGAUCCAACGGCUGGAUGCAACUGUGGCACGGUACCAUAGUUGCACCGUAGCCAGACCCUGCAAAAGUAUAUUGAAGUUUUUUUCUGGCCUUUUAUGUAAUCACACCCGCCAGUAAUGAGAUAAUUUACAAAAAGGUCCUUGAUGUUUUGGUUAAAUUUAAUUAAAUUAGUAAAUUCAUCCAAAACGGCAUCGUUUUGAAUGUGUUUUUAUUAAGAUUUAUCCAGCAUUUCGUACAUAUAUCAGUGCUUUUUUUUUUUUGUUUAAUUUUUAUAAAGUGUUGGUUAGAAGGCAAACAUCUUACAUUAAAAUGGAGUCUUCUUGCGGCGGCCAAAGGAGAUAUAUAUAUAUAUAUAGGCACACACACAUACACUAGAGUUUUGUUUAAGUUAUAUUUCACAUGGAUUAAGUUGUAGAUGACAGAUCUCUAAAAGCAUCUUGUAAAAUUGUACAUUAAAAAAUAAUAGUUCUAGUAGUGUUAAAGGCAGCUGCUGAAAACAGUUUCUACUUAUGCUGCGUUUACUAAACUGGAAUCGGAAUGAGUUGGAAUCAGAAUGGACGGGAAUCGAAAUGAGCUGGAAUGAGAAUCAAAAUAAGUUGUUUACUUGAACUGUAGGAAUCGAAAUCGGAAUGAGCUGGGUUGCCAUUAAUGUGUUUACUUUGUCUUGAAUCGGAAUCAGAAUGAGUUAGAUUGUAACAAAUUACUAAAAAAUACUUAAUGAAUUAUUGUCAUAAUUAUUAUUAUUAACUAAUUUUAAAUUUUUUAUCAAAUUAUUAUAAUUAUAUUAACAAUUAUUAUAAAAAUAUAUUAACAAAUAAUAUUAAUAUUCAAAAAUUAUAAUUAUUAAUAAUUAUUGUUAAAAAUAUAUUAAUAUAUUAAUUAGUACUAAUAAUUAUAUUAUUUAAUUAAUUAUAAUAACUAUAUUAAUAAUUAUUAUAAUAACAUGUUAAUUAAUUAUUUACAAUAAUAAUAUAUUAAUUAUUGUGAUUAUUUACUCAAGAACAAUAAUUAUUAAUAUAUUAUUGUUAAUAAUAUAUUAUUAUAUUAUUUAAUAGUGAUAAUUAUAUUAAUUAAUAAUAAUAUAUGAAUUAAUUCUAAUAAUUAUAAUAGUAAUUAUUAUAAUAAUAUAUUAAUUAAUUACAAUAAUAAUAUAUUAACUAUUGUGAUUAUUUAUUCAGAAAUUAUAAUUAUUAAUAAUUAUUGUUAAUAAUAUAUUAAUAUAUUAAUUAGUAGUAAUAAAUAUAUAAUUUAAUUAAUAAUAAUAUAUGAAUUAAUUAUAUUAAUAAUUAUUAUAACAGUAUAUUAAUUAAUUAUAAUAAAAAUAACAAUAAAUUAAUUAUUGUGAUUAUUUAUUCAAAAAUUAUAAUUAUUAAUAAUUAUUGUUAAUACUAUGUUAAUAUAUUAAUUAACAGUAAUAAUUAUAUUAAUUAAUAAUAAUAAUAUAUGAAUUAAUUAUAGUAAUAAUAUUGAUAAUUACUAUAAUAGCAUAUUAAUUAAUCAACUAAAAUAAUAAUAUAUUAAUUAUUGUGAUUAUUUAUUCAAGAACUAUAAUUAUAGUUAAUAAUAUAUUAAUUAAUCAUAAUAUUUAUUUAAUUAAUUAUAAUAAUAUAUUAAUUAAUUAUAACUGAGGACAAAGUGGGUAUUUUUAGUUUUGGGGGAUGGCAAAAUGGGAAUUCUUGGGAUGGGAGAUUGAUUCCCACCUCCCCCAUGGGAAUCAAUCUCCCAUUCCCCAUUCCCAAAUAGUUGUGGGCCCCACCAUUUUGAUUUCCAUUCCUGCUUCAUUUUUGCGAAGUAAACGCGUCAAUCAUUCCGAUUCCAGAUUUCGAUUCCCCAAUUCGGGAAGUAAACGCACCAUUAGUUUCUAGUAUAUCCAUAUAUAUUUACCUAAAAAAGAAGGAGGUAAACGUCUUUUGUUUUUUUUUUUUUUUUAAAAGAGAGAGAGCGAGAGAGAGAACAUUUUCUACUGUGUUCACUGACACACCCCGCCCCGACUUAUAUGUUGGAUCCGAGGCGAAUCAUGCGGUCUAGUAACUAAAACUCGUGGCACUAACUUAAUUCAUGUAUAUAUAUUAAUAGUUUUCUGGUUAGGGAAUUGUAAGCUUUUAAAGCCGUGCAGUUUUAAAGUUUUCCCAGACUUUCCCGCACUUUAAAAUUCCAGACUGGAACAUUUAUAUAUAUAUAUAUAUGACCUUUACUAUAAACACAUAACAACCUUUGUGUCUCCUCCGAAAAUAUAUAUGUAUUCAAAACUUGCACAGUUCAUGUCUCAUUAUACAUACUUACAUUACAAGUAUAUAUACAAAAAAAACAUAAACAACAUAAAUGUGCUCAAAAUGCAAGACAUGCAACAAUGCGUCUCGUGGGCCCACCCCAAUUGACUGGAACUGAUCUGCACGAAAUCCUGCGGAAUCCUGGGAAAAAAAAUAGAUAAAUAAGAAAAUAAUGAGCUUGCGGCUCAGUGAGUGGAUAUAAUUUAUAUAUAGAAAAAUAUAGUAGCGUACUAGGAUAUAUACAUAAUUAUGUGACAUAAUUCCGCACUGAAUGUAAUGCAUCAACAAACAUGAAAAUCAUACACACAUGACAAAAUUGUACCAAAUAGUACCCAGGGGAAAUAACUCUCAAUACUUGCUGGGAUCAUCGUCGCACGAGAAGAGCGGGAAAACUCUCAAUACCCAGCGGAAUUUAACUAAAUCGCACGAGUAGAGUAGCCUAACUCUCAAUAUGCAUGCGUAGAGCCUAUGGAGAAGGGUACAUAUAUGGUGACUGACAAUCACAUCUCAUGACUCAAUCAAACAUAUAAUAUGCAAAUAUAUAAUCAUGAUAUUAAAUCAUAUUAUCAAAUAUAAAUGCUUCACGAAAUUCAUAUUAGUAAUAAUAGUAUCCACUCACAAAUCAUGUUUCACUUCGGGGUGUUUGUUGGGGCUCCUAUGGGUUCUUGAAUUCUUGAGUUCCUCCUAAAAUAUAAGAUUAAAAAAUUAACUAUUAAAACUGAUAUAAAAAUUGAUACGUAUCACAAAAACUGUAAUAUAACUGUUCAAACUUCAUAUAUCUAUUACCCAUUAAUUCAUUGGAUAUUAAUGUAAGUGUUUAAUUUCAUUUCCUAUAACAUUCCCUCUCAAUUUAUCUUUUAAAUUUCUUUUCCCACUCUUGGCUUCUUCCUUUCUUUUAUUUUUUUUCUUUCCUCUUCUCUUUUGCUCUCAGUUUUUCUUCUUUUUCUUCUCUGUCUCACUUCAAAAAAUGAUGCAAAAUGAGAGCUGGUUUCAAUUCCUUCAAAUUCAUAUAUGUCCACCGACUCAAGCACACAAGUAGAGCAUACGGGUGAAGCAUGCACGUGCCUUGCAUGAAGCUGGUAGCUUGCUGCUGCUUUGAUAAUUAGCCACGUUUGGCUUAUAAAGAAGCGGUGAAGCAUGCACGGUGCAUUACAUUCAUGCUAUCUACGGAAUGAUAAAAACUAAACUUCAAGUACAGCGGAGUAAAACCUGUGCACACAGCUUAACAUUUUAUGUGGCAACUCUGGAAGAAAUCUCACAAUGAAAAUAAAAAUUACAGGCGAAUGUUGCAAGUAUAUUUCAUUCAUAUGUCAAUUUUUGAAAACCUUGCUCUGUAAGUAAACCAACCAAUCUAUUUGUGACAAAUGGGAACAAGACAGUAACCUCCUUAUUUGAUGAUAUGCAGCAUUUGCAGAAGCUGAAACAGUAAACAUGGGAAUGAAAGGAUUAGAAUCAUUUGAUAUAUUUUUUUUUAACUAGAAUUACUUCCACCGUAACUGAUAUAAUUAAAUAAGAGAGAAUUUACAAACUAAUUUUUUAAAUUCUCUCAAAUAAGUAAGCAUAUUAAUUAAAAAAAUUAAAUUAAAAGUAUUUCAUUUAAUUAUUUUUUUAUUGAAAACUAAUAAUUAAUACAUAUGCAUUCUCUACAGGUUUAAUCAGGUUUUGUUGUUGUACACAUUAGUAUAAUAAGUUUAAAUGAAGUUUAAACUUUGAUAAUUUAAAUUAAAAUUCUCACAAUUAUUUGAAGAUUGUGGUUCGGUGAAAUGAAGUUUAUCCAGUAUAACAUACCAAAAAGGGGGCGGCUAAGGAGGCAGCCAGGAGGCAACCGAGAGUUAGCAAAAGAGGCAAGAAAAAGGCAACAAGCCAACAAUGAAGUCAAAAGCUCAAGAAGGGAAGCGGUGAAGCAAAUCCGACAAACGCAAGCAAGAGUUAAGCUGGCUGUUUCGCAUGACACAUGUGAAGCUUCAUCACAAGCUGGCUGUUUCGCAUGACACAUGUGAAGCUUCAUCACAAGCUGGCUGUUUCGCAUGACACGUCUAUGCUAUUUUUCUUCUGGAUUUAAUCUAUCAUUGUCGACGACGACGAUUUGCUAACCUCACAAGUGAUAAGGACUCUACAAGAGUACAAAACAGAGACUCGUAAUAUUACUGAAUAUAGCAUUUCUGUUUCCUUAUUAAUGGAGAAAGGCAGUUAUGUUUUUGCAGCGGUCAAGGGCAUUGAAGAUAUUAUGGCUUUACUUAUCAUCGUUAGCUUCCUUCUGUGUCUCCCAUUCUUCCUCUUCUUCUUUGUUUUGCAAAGGCACAAAACCUCGAAAAAUAAUACUAAAUUACCACCAGGCCCCCGGGGCCUUCCCUUCAUCGGUAACUUACAUCAGUUUGAUGUCUCAAAGCCUCAUGUGUCAUUUUGGGAACUAUCGAAAAAAUAUGGCCCCCUCAUGUCCUUGCGUCUUGGUUUUGUGCCGUCCUUAGUAGUUUCCUCAGCAAAAAUGGCUAAAGAGAUAUUGAAAACCCAUGACCUUCAAUUUUGUAGCAGGCCAGCCUUGGUAGGGCAACAAAAGUUAUCUUACAAUGGUCUUGAUUUGGCUUUUUCACCCUAUGAUGAAUAUUGGAGAGAGAUUAGAAAAAUUUGUGUCAUUCAUCUCUUAAACUCUAAUAAGGUACAAAAUUUUCGACCCAUUAGAGAAGAUGAAGUUUCAAGAAUGAUUGAAAAGAUUUCAAAAUCAGUUGCUGCUUCUAAGCUCGUAAACUUAAGUGAGGUAAUGAUGUCUCUUACUAGCACUAUUAUUUGUAGAAUUGGUUUUGGCAAGAGGUACGAUGAAGAUGAAGCAACAAGUGCAAGAAGUAGAUUCCAAGCCUUGCUUAAUGAAACUCAAGCCUUGUUUGUAAGCUUUUUUGUUACAGAUUAUUUUCCUUUCAUGGGCUGGAUUGAUAAGUUCACAGGAAAGAUGCAACGUCUGCAAAAUAACUUCCAAGAACUUGAUAGAUUCUACCAGGAACUCAUCGACGAGCAUUUGGAUCCAAACAGAACAAAAUCAAAAUUGCCGCAACAGGAGGAUAUAAUUGAUGUUUUACUUCAAAUAAGAAAAGAUCGUGGAUUUAAAGUUGACCUGACUUUGGAUAACAUCAAAGCAGUGCUCAUGGUGGAUAAUUUUAUAAAUAGUUAUAUGUAGACUCGUGCUUAGGCGCAGACUCAAAAUUUUGUGCAGAUGCCCAAUUUUACAGUGUUGUAAAACGUUUUAUAAUGCUGUAAAGUGCUCUUUGACGUCUCCGCCUGAGCAUGAUUAAUUUAAUAUAAUUUUAUUCGCUUUAACUAAUUUAAUAUGUAUAUUGUUUGCUUUGCAGAACGUAUUCGUUGCUGGAACAGACACAAGUGCAGCAACUGUGGUUUGGGCCAUGACCUAUCUAACGAAGAAUCCUAGAGCAAUGAAAAAAGUUCAACUGGAAAUUAGAUCGUUGAUUGGGGGCAACAAAGGCUUUGUAAAUGAAGAUGAUGUUCAAGAACUACAUUAUCUUAAAGCCGUAGUGAAGGAGACAAUGAGAUUGCAACCUACAGUGCCGUUACUACUUCCAAGAGAAGCAAUUCAAAAGUGCAUAGUAGAAGGGUAUGAAAUACCAGCUAAAACACGUGUUUUUGUAAAUGCAUGGGCGAUAGGGAGAGAUCCUGAAGCUUGGCAGAAUCCUGAGGAAUUUUAUCCGGAGAGAUUUGUUGAUAGUUGUAUUGACUUUAAAGGGCAAAACUUUGAGUUAAUACCGUUUGGUGCUGGCAGAAGAAUUUGUCCUGGGUUGAAUAUGGGAAUUGUAACUGUGGAGCUUGCACUUGCUAAUCUUCUUUACAAAUUUGAUUGGGAAAUGCCGCCUGGAUUGAAGAGCCAUGACUUUGAUGUUCUGCCCGGACUUGCCAUGCAUAAGAAGAACGUUCUUUCUCUUCGGGCUAAGUAUCAUGUUGAGUAGGUAAAUUAAGGCACCUCCAUCAAUAAGAAGGUAAAUUAAGGCACCUCCAUUAAUAAGGGUUUGAUCUAGCUAAAGGAAAUAUAUGUUAUGCGUCCUCAAUUGUGCUUCUCAAUGUUUUCUUUCUUUCUUCUUAUGUAUAAUGGAUGUUUACGCGAAUGGUUUUUAGUAAGUAAUUUUCUUUUAGUUCAAAAUUUUGGGAGGUAAGGGCUAGAAGAUAAUAGGGACUCUGCCCACUCUCUUAUACCUUUAAAAAAAUGAUAUGAAUGUGAGUAUCAAUUUAUCACAUUUAUUUUGUCUUACAUUUUUCUCUCUCCAAUUUCAAAUUAUAAAUGUAUAUAUAAAUACACGAAACGACCAAUCAAUAUUAUUUACUUGAUAUAACUAAUAAGUAAAUUCAUGGCUUUUUCUAUCACCCCUUUUUUUGUUAGGAGUAUCAGUAAAAUCAGCUCUGUAAUGCUCUACAUCUUUACCGUGAAAGCUGCAUUUUUAUGGAAUCAGCUUACAGUUAUGUACUAACCAAAAAAAAAGAAAAAGAAUAUUACAUCAAUUCUUCAUUGAGAUUUGAGACAUUUUCUUCCUCCAGAAAGUAUACAAGUUAAAAAAACUACACAUCAUUGUGAUUUCAUAACAGCAUCAUCCAUCACUUUCCUAUGAGCUUUUUAUGAGGCCGGAGGCUAAAGCACAAUCAGUUGAGCUGUUAUUGCAUUUCCCACAGCAAGACUGUGGCAAAUCAGUUGACUUUUGACGUUAAAUGGUGGUUUCGGCUUGCAGUCACUUGUGUUUGUUCAAUUUCAAUAAAGGAAAUUUCAUUUUUGUUAAAAUCCAUGAAUAUUAAUUACUACCUUGUUCGCUGUUCAGUAAAACUAAAACAACACCAAAACUUAAAUAUUUUCGCUAUAUCACAAACUUAAAUAUUUUUUUUUUCCCCCUAUACAUCCCUAGUAAGGUUGACAGAAAAAAACCAAAUUUCAAUCGGUAUUGGGAUCCCCUCCCGAAUGAUAGGGGAUUUGGCACUAAUUUUUAAAAUCGAUUCGAUACUAAUUUUAACAAACACUUGCUUUAAACCAACUUAUUCUUCUACCACAUAAUUUACUUAACUUUCAUUACAUGAAAAAUAGUCAUUUUUUUUACCUAACUUGUUCGACAAUAGUUAAAUAUGUUGGUGAGAGGGCAGUUUUCAAUUGUAAAAAUCAAGACAUCGAGAAAAACUAAAAUGGCUAUUUGGUUUUUCUAAUGAAAAACUAAAACAACUAUAUGGUUUAGCGUGAAAUUUUAGCUUCAUUGGUAUUUAUGACGAUUGUAACUAACCAUUAAAAAUGCAUAAUUAUUUUCUACCUGUAGUGAUUUAGGUGCUGUAGAAUUCGAUUAGCAACCUAAGCACUGCCCAAGAUCACAAACCAGAUCCACUAGAUGCUAAGAACCCAAACAAUCAAGCUUUAAGUUUCAACAAAACCUUUAACGAAAAUGGCUUAAUCAGAACACACUCAGAACAAGAAUUAGAAACCAAUCACACCCAAAAGAAAGAGAAAUAUUUACGUGGUUCGAUUGUGCAAAGAAGCACAAUCUACAUCCACGGGAGAAGCCCACAGAGCAAGCUUUAUUGAUGAUUCAAGUAAUCUUUACAGAGCAAUACAAGAGCUAACUACUAGGAUCAAGACGAAGCUUUCUCUCUAUCUUAACUCUCUCUAUCACGCUCUCAGAUCAUCCAUGAAACUGCUUCUUUAACCAGCUUAUAUAGCAGCUGAUAAAGAACCCAGAAGUUGCAGAUUUCCGCCACCUGGACUAACAGCUUCUAACUGAUUUGAUUCUCCACCCCCCGUGCACUUCACAUGUUUCACUUAAGCCUUUUGCCGAAACGUCUCCAGCUCCUGCCGUUUUGAACUUAAGUGAAUCACAUGCCAUGCUCGUGACUCCUGAGUAUAUUAAACAUAUUCCAAACGUUGUCGUUUAACAUGCUCAAGUUUUGGAUUCAACAUUUUAGUCCACACUACCGUUUCAAAAACAUAGUCGAAAAUAAAAUAAUAUUUUCAAUUAUUGUAAUUUUUAAUCAAAAAUAGGAAAAUAUUUUUAAACGUAACUAGGAGUUGGUUGAAAAAACCAUUAAAAAGAUAUAAAAUUUUAACAGACAACAUGGGCACCAAUAAUGUUUUUCACUACUAUAACUUGCAAGGUUGGUCAAAGCAAAAGCUGUAAGGGUAAGUAAAUAUAAUAUAAAAUUAUAUAUCAUCUAAAAGAAAAGUAAUUGUACGUUUUUUUUUCUUAGUUUACUAUUUUUUUUAUCAAACAUGAACUAGAUAAUUAAAUAAUUAAUUAAUUAAUGUAUUUUUUUUAUAGAAUUAAUUAAUGUACUUAAUUGAAAAUAAAAUUAACUUCUACGAUGCAAACAGAAUUUGAGCCCUCAACUGAAAAGAUAAAAUAUGAAAGUGCCUACCACUGGAGCAAGAAAUAAUUUUCAGUAAAUUAUAAAUUAAAUAAUUAUGAAAGGAUUGAUUUUUUCUAAAGGUUUUACUAGGUGCAACAAUGGAAUUGAAUUACCUUAUUUAACUUAGAAGAUAUUGAUUGAUUACAGCAUAGAUAUAAUGUAUGAUAUCUUAAAUUAAACAUCAAUUAACUUCGAAAUUAUAUUGUAGUUCAAAUAAACUCGAUAAUAUUUAUGAUCACAUUCUAUCUUAUACACAAACUUGAAACUUAUGUUAUUGAUUAAGUCUCAACUAUUUUAAUCAUUAUCAUUGAAUCAAUUUAGAAAUUGAUUAUCGAACUAGCUGGUAUUUUAUAGUUAAGUAUUUAAAGAAAUAAUGUCUAUGAUUGAUCAUAAUUAUUGUUGAAUCAAUUUGGAGACUAGCUAAUUUUCAAAUUAAUGUAAUUAUCUAGUGGUCAAUUUCAAUAAAUAGAGUCUAAUAGUUUUCAUAGUUGUAUUAUACUCAUAAUUGUGGAACAUGGAACGUAUACUUCAUACUUAAAACUUAUUGCAUAUAUUAAAAAAAAUAGAUGAUUAGUAAUUAACAUUUAAUUAUAGUUGAAAUAUUAAUUAUUAAAUUAGUCUAAUUGUCUAAGAACAGUCAUACAAUUAAUUUCAAUAGAUAACAAGAACUAUUGCAAUAAUUUUUUUAUAUUUUAAAACAUAUCUCAACUAUGAAUUAUUAAAACUAAUAUAGCUUCAUAGUUUUUAGGCCAAUAUCUAUUUUCAUCUUUUGUUUAUCUUAUUAAUUUAAAUUUAAAAUCUAUGUUAAAUAAUAAAGAUGUUCUAUCAAUCAAUUUAGGCUAUAGAUUAAUUAAACAAUCUAGUAAUCACAUAAUAGGUAUUACAUAUAAUUGUUCAAUUAUAAUAAACUUUAAAUUUGCAUUAAUGAGAUAAGAAGUUUUGUUUUGCAAUUAAUCGAAUCGUAUGCUAAUAAUUUUCAAUAUUUAUUAUUAUUUCAAUAUUUAUUAGUAUGAAAUAACUAACUUAGGAUAAAUAAAUUGAUUGAUUGAUUUUUUCUUAAAUUUUAAUAUCUUGUAUUAUCUCUAUUAACUAUUUGGUCCACUGCCACCUAACUAAAGUUUUUAGUGCAAGUGUAUGUGUACCUAUUCUCCACUCUCUCUAACAAAUAUCUCAAUUAGCCACCGAAUCAAAUCUAAUAAUAGAAUAAAUAAAUAAAAGCCACCGAUAUUAAGCGCAACGGAUGAAUUCAUCUCCUCUUCUUUUGUAUAUUCUCUCCAAAGCUUUCAACUCUAUUUUGGGGUCAUUUUCUUAAUUUUUUUUAAUUAAACUAUAUAGAAACUGGGGAGAUGUUUUCAGAUAUUUAUUAAUUUUUAUCCUUCACCUUUAAUUUCUUAAGUUUGACAUCAGUUAUUGUUGGCCUCACUCUCACAUGGUUGGUUUGAAGCUUUUCUAUCAUGUAGUUCGGUGAAAAUUAUUUGAUUAAUCGUGACUUGCAGGUAAGAAUUAUAUUAUUAUUUUGUGUUAUGUUUUUAAUUUAUUAGAUUUUAAUUCACAAUUUAUUUGAUAACAAGUGAAAGAGAUGUUAAUUAGGAUAGAUUCAUUUUCUUGUUUAGUAUAUAGGAUUUUCUACUUUAAUUUAAUUGUAUCUUAAUAUUUUUUUUAUUGUUAUCAAGGGAAUUAAGAGCCUAGGAAGAAAAAAUUAUGAUAUUCAACUUUCAUAAGGAUUCAGUUGCUCAAUCCACAUUGAUUCUAUCUUUUAUCAACAGCAAAAUAUCAUUGCAAGAGUGCCAUGUAGCCUUUGGUGUAUUUUAUUUUAUUUAAAUAUUUGUCAUGGAUUCAAUGAUUAAUACGUAUUUAUUUUAUCUUUUAGUAGCAUUAAGUUAUUGUAAUAGCAUCAUGUAGCUUUAAGUCAUUGUAAUGGUGUCUUGUAGCACUUGUACUUUGUUUGAGUUGCACAUGUAUUUGUUGAAAUUAUUUAUAAAAGGAUAUUUGUCGAUUGAUUCAUUGAUUUUUUUCUCCUGAGGCAAUUAAUAAAACCAUUUUCAGCCAUAUAUAUUUGUCUACUAAUUCAUCAUUUUUUUUCCUAGAGGCGAUUAAUAAAAUGAUUAUUUUAACGAUGAAGUAGAAUCAAAUGAAUUUCAAUAAUCAUCUUCUUGGAAAUACUAAGAUUCAAUUAGAACUAAUAUUUAUUCGACUAUAAUUUAUUUUUUCCAACUGUUUUUACCCCUAAAAAAUAGUGUAUUUUUAAUGGUAAUUAGUUAGUUGAAAUUGAUAUUGCAAAUACAACUGCUAUCGAAAAUACUCUUUUUUACUACUUAAGGUGGUCAUAAAUAUCAGUCAUUAGUCACAUGUCCAUAUUAAUUUUCAAUCUAUAUUUAUGUAUUUAUGAUUGUCAAUUUCGCACCAAAUAAGCAUAUUUACGGCGGCCAAUCGGUAAAAGUGUGUUUCUAACCUGGGUAUUAGCGAUUACCAGCGACUGAUUAAGGCCAUUGGAAAAACAUAUUUUCAACAGUAUAGCACUUGUUUCAACUGCAUUCAGCAGUUAUAAAAAGUUAUUUUUCUUGUAGUAUAUUUAUACCGCACAUUUUGACUACCACUAAUUUAAGUUGCCUGAUGAACAUAUUUACCACACAUAAAAACUAAAAUAUCUGAGAUAUUUCUUUAGAUAUUUCUAUAGAUAUUUUAACAUUUUAGAUUACAAUAUUUUUCAACACUUGAUUUAAUCACCAAUCGUUGACUAUGAUGACGACAAAAAAUCUAUUUCAUUGUGCUAACCUCACAAGUGAAAAGGACUCCACAAGAGUACAAAACAGAGCCUUGAUCUAAUAAUAUUACCGAAUAUAGCAUUUUGUUUCCUUAUAAAUGGAGAGAGGUUCUGUCUUUGCACUGCAUAACAGAUAUUAAUGGCUUUACUUAUCGUCAUCAACUUCCUUAUGUGUCUCUCAAUCUUCGUCAUCUUCUUUGUUUUGACAUCAAUUUUGUUGGCCUCACCCUUGGCUGAAAGCUUUUUCUGUCAUGUAGAACGGUGAAAAUUAUUUGAUUAAUUGUGGCUCGUAGGUAAGAAUAAUUAUUGUUUUUUGUGUUCAUGUUUUUAAUUUAUUGGAUUUUAAUUCACAAUUUAUUUUAUAACAACUGAAAGAGAUUUUAUUUAGGAUAGAUUCAUUUUCUUGUUUAGUAUAUAGGAAUUUCUACUUUAAUUUAAUUGUAUCGUAAUUUUUUUUUUAUAUAUAUUGUUAUGCGGUGAAUCAAGAGACCUAGGAAGAAAAAAUUAUGGUAUUCAACUUUCAUAAGGAUUCAAUUGCUCAGUCCAUAUUAAUUCUAUCUUUUAUCAACACCAAAAUAUCAUUGCAAGAGUGCCGUGUAGCUUUUGGUGUAUUAUUUUUUAUUUAAGUAUUUGUCAAAGAUUCAAUGACUAAUACAUAUUUAUUUUAUCUUUUAGCAAUAUUAAGUCAUUGUAGUAGUAUUGUGCAAUAGGGAUGACAAAACCCCGGGCCGGGUCCGGGUAUUGCAAUGACCGGACCCUACCCGGAUGCAACCGGUCCGGGUCCAGGUCUGGGCCGGGUUUUAAUCCGAGUACCCGAAUUUUAUAUUUUUUAAUAUUAUAUGUGUAUAUAUUUUUUAUUUUUUGGUAAUUUUAUAAGUUUUAAAUUUAUUUCAAUAAAAUUUGACAUGAAAAUAUAAACUUUAAGUGUUUAAAACUUUAUAUAUGUAUAAUAAAUUAGUCAAAUAAAUAUAAAUAUUUAAAAUAAUAUAUAUUUUAUAAUAUUUUUGUAAUAAAAUCCGGGUUCUGGGUUUAUCAAGUGAUGUCCAAGACCGACCCGGCUUCAUACCCGGCCCAUAACGCCCGGGUACGGUUCGGGUCCAGACCGGGCGGGUAUUUUUGCCACCUCUAUCUUACAUCUUUAAGUCAUUGUAGUAGUGUGGUGUAGGAUUUGUAUUUUGUUUAAGUUGCACAUGUAUUUGUUGAAAUUAUUUAUAAAAGAAUAUUAUUCCACUAAUCCAUUGAUUUUUCUUUUUUCUAUGGGGCAAUUAAUAAAAUCAAUUUGGGCCAUAUAUUUGUCAAUUAAUUCAUUGAUCAUUUUCCUAGGGGUCCAGCUACCUUGCGUCAUGGGUUUGGUACCGCAGUUGUUUGUCUCUUAGCGAAUGACCCUUUAGAUUGUACUGAAUGCAUUCUGCACUAUGGUCCAAUAAUUCUCUUUCAAAUACACUUAGGUCCCCAAAUCAAUAGCUCAAUUCUUCACAUUCAAUUUAAAGCUUUUUUUAACUUCAUUAUCAUUUAUUUAUCAAACAUCACAUACCUGAUGCAGAUCCACCAGGUGUUGAGUUUCUACCAGCAUUCACUCUUGAGCUUGAUGUUGUUUCCAAGUUCUUGCAACGCUUCUGCUUGGCACAGAGAAGUAAAUUUUGUAAGUAAGUACACUCAAUCAAAUACUUCAUACUUAACAUUGAUUGCAUAUAUUAAAAAAAAUGUUAGAUGAUUAGUAAUUAACAUUUAAUUAUAGUUGAAAUAUUGUUUAUUAAAUUAGUCUAAUUGUCUAAGAACGGUCAUACAAUUAAUUUCAACAUAUAAAAAAACUAUUGCAAUAAUUUAUUUAUAUUUUGAAACAUAGCUCAACUAUGAAUUAUUAAAACUAAUAUAGCUUCACAGUUUUUGCAUCAAUAUCUCUUUUCAUCUUUCGCUUAUCUUAUCAAUUUAAAUUUAAAAUCUAUGUUAAAGAUGUUCUGUCAAUCAAUUUAGGCUAGAGAUUAAUUAAACAAUCUAGUAAGCACAUAAUAGGUAUUAUUAUUAAUUGUUCAAUUAUAAUAAACUUUCAAAUUGCAUUAAUGUGAUAAGAAGUUAUAUUUUGCAAUUAAUCGAAUCAUAUGCUAAUAAUUUGCAAUAUUUAUCAGUAUGAAAUAACUAACUUAGAAUAAAUUAAUUAAUUGAUUGAUUUUUUCUUAAAUUUGAAUAUCUUGUAUUAUCUCUAGUAACUGUUUGGUCCACUUAAUUACUAAAAUCCCACCUAACUAAAGUUUUUUGUGCAAAUGUAUAUUUACCGUAACCCACGUUCUCCAUGCUCUCUAACAAAUCUCUCAAUUAGCCACCGAAUCAUAUCCAUUAAUAGAAUAAAAAUAAAAGCCACCGAUAUUAAGCACAAUGGAUGAAUUCAUCUCUACUUCUUUUGUAUAUUCUCUCUAAAGCUUCAAACUCUAUUUUAGGGUUAUUUUCUUAAUUCUUUUGAAUCAAGCUAUAUAGAAUCUGGGGAGAUGUUUUCAAAUAUUUAUUGAAACGACCCGCCCCGAAUCAACCCAGACGAGUUUAUCUAGUCUCAUCAAAACGGACUUGAUAAUAAUUUUAUUCGUAAAGAUUCUGCCGAAAAUUCGGCAGAGUCUCCUUUAUAUAUAUAACACUCCCAAUCUACAAAUAUGAAUAUAACACUCUCAAUACAAGUCAAUAUACAACAAACUCUAGUGCUCAACAUCCUCAACCAAAAUGCUGAGUUUUAUAUCUCCAGAGUCUCAAAAGAUAAUAUUAUAACUAAUAUUAAUAUCUCAAUUUAUUCUUAAUCCCAAAAAGAAUAAUAUAACAAAAGUAUACAAUCCCAAAAGAACAAGAUGACCAAGAUAUCCUAACAAAAACAUUUAUAUCUUCUAACACCAUCACGUGACCAAGACUCAAAAUAUAUUUACAGUCGCUGGGUCGGUCUGGUGUACCUGCAACCUCCUGGUGAGGGGGGAAAAAUAUAAUAAAAACGGGAUGAGUCUAAAACUCAGUGAGAUCAGUGAGUGGAUAGUAGUUUUGAAAAUUAAUUCUUACUUUAAAAGAAAUAAUCAUAUCAUUUCCAAACAUGAUUGCACUAAACCAUAAGCGAGAAACCAGAAAUAAAUAAUUAAACAUUUAAAUCAGAUUACUAACCAUGGAAAUCAUAUCACAAUAUCAUAUAGAAUUCACAAAUCUGAAAAUCAUCACCAAACAAGUACCCAGGGAAAUAAUCUCGUCAUAUCCGGACCUCAACGGACGAGCAAUGACGUACUAUCUGGGUAACGUCACGCCCCGGAGCUACACGGAUAGACAGGGAAAUACCAUCUCAUAUCUCAUCAUAUCCGUGCAUGCAUAAUCUAGUCCCCAAAUGACAAAAACACCCAAGCACAUGGCCCAAAGCCUAUGUGUGUACUCAGACGGGCCCCAAAGGCCUGUAUCUCAUCUGUAUCAUUUGUAUCUCAAUAUCUGUUUGUAUCUUAUAUCUGUAUCUCUGUAAUCAUCAUACCGCAUGCAUAUGCCCCCAAAAGGCAAAAACGCCCAAACACAUGGCCCAAAGCCUCUAUGUGUGUUCAGACGGGCCCCAAAGGCCUCUCAUCUCAUAUCACCUGUAUUACUGUAUCUGGAGGAGAAGGAUACUGUCUAAUGAUUUCAAAAACAAUCAUUAUACUCAUAUUCACAUACCUUUUAAUCAUACUUUAAAUCAUACCACAUUCAAAUCCACUUUUCUUAUCUUUAAAAUAUUAUCAUGCUUUAUUCAAAGUCGAUACGCAAAAUCAAUAACCAAACAUUUUAAUAAAAUACCAAUGCGUGAAUAAAAAUCCAUUUCGAGGAAAUCAUUAAAUCAGAACAUUUAAAAUACUUAUUUCACAAACAUGCAUUACUAUCAUAAUUAACUAUGAAAAUAGGUUUUGUAUAUUCCACUCACAGUGACGGUGUUCACGGUCGGUUAUCGUCCACGUCCGCGGACCGGUUCUCGCUCGCGGAUCCUCCUAAAUCAAGGAAACGACAUAAUUAUUUUCCGUAAAUCGGAAUUACGGCUAAAUUUAUGCAAUAAACUCGAAACGAACAUCUAUCCAUAAUUGACAACUCCCGUGUCCAUAAAAUUACUAAAAUGCCCUUGAGUCCGUAAAUCAUUAACACAUACUCUGAAAUUGUACAACACCGAAUUACCCUCGGAAUCGUAAUUACACCCACUCCUCAAUUCUAGGAAUUACUAAAAUAUCCACAGGCUCAGAAAUUACAAAAUUGCUCUCAUAGUGUGAAAUUACCAAAAUGCCCUUGCCGGUCAACGGUCACAGGAAUUUGGUCAACGCUGGUUAGGAAGCUCAAAUCUGAAAGUUCAAAUCACGCUGAGUUCAAUGGUACCGGCGGUGAGCUCCAUGCGCGGCAACGGCGCCGGAAUCGAGCUCGACAGCCGUGAAUUCCAACAAUCGACCGGCGGCAAAAUAGUGACUCUCGGUGCCUAUGGAUGGUCGGAAAUGGAAGAGGGAGUCGUGGGGAACAAGAUCCAACCGGUGGUGUCACCCAAAACCGGCGAAAAUCCCGGCGGAGUAAAGUGAAACAAUCGCGGGUUCAAGCUUCAAUUGCCGGCGUUCCGGUUGGUUUUCGGCGGCGAGGAUGGCACGGGAACGACGGUCGGCUUCUAAGCUUCAGAUUGGUACCAAGCUCGGCUGAAACGGUGGCCGGAAAUGGGAGAUAUGGUCGGGUCAAGGUCGCCGGUUCCGGGUCGAGUUUUCGGGUCCGUAGUUGGAUCGGUUUGGCAGUUUCCCUUCACUCUCUCUCACACGUGCAUGUUUUUACCCUGUUUCCAGCUUAUUCUUUUACUUAUAAACUCCUUAACCGCCUCAUUUUCAUUUUGAAAUUCACAUAUGUUACAUUUAUUACCUUUUGUCCUUCACCUUUAAUUUCUUAAGUUUGACAUCAGUUUUGUUGGCCUCACCCUUGGCUGAAAGCUUUUUCCGUCACGUAGAUCGGUGAAAAUGAUUUGAUUAAUUGUGGCUCGUAGGUAAGAAUAAUUGAUGGUUGUCGAAGUCAGUAAAAAUAAAUACUUACUCUAAAUAAAUUGUGUAUAGUGAUUGAGCAGGGUCGUGUCCACAGAGAUCGGUAAUAUUUAAAUCUUUUUUAAAAUGUAAAUUGCAAAAUGGGGGGAUUGUUGAUAAUAAUAAAAAUCAAAUUAAAAUUGGGAAAAGCUUUAGUUGAAGGAAUUAACUCAGCUUGAUUCGACUACUGAUCAUUAAUUCAAAUAUAAAUCAUUACUACUUAUGAAUAGACCGGUUAUAGCUACUGAGACCCUCUAAUAGCUAAUCUCUCAUUAACUAGUCGAUAACCAAGGUACGACCAUUGGUUAUUUCCCUAAUCAAUAGAUAACCCUAGAUACGAUCAUAAAAUUUAAUCAAUUGACAGCCUGAAAAAUCAGAGAGACCCAAAUCCUAAUCAACAAACGCAUACGAUGGUUCAUUUAAAUUAGAUUGUUUAUUCUCAUAACACAACGCACUACUAUGCUAUUUGUCACAAAUAUUAAAAUCUUCAUACGAUGAAUCCUUUAAUUGACAAUAGAUUAAGUUGAUAAUUAAAUAGUGGCCAAUUAUCUAAUUAACAAACAUAAUCAUGACAAUAAUUUAGAGAAUAAACAAAUACCCAAAAAGUAAUAAAAUAAUUAAAGCAUAAGAAAGAUCUCACAGUAAUGAUGAAUCAAAGCUUCAUUAAUCUUCAACCAGAAUAAUAGGUUUAGUUAUUCACAGAGAAAAGAGAAAAAUUUAGAUCUAGGGUUUUUUUUUUACAAUAGAUUCCCCCCUUUAAUUCUCUCUCCCCUCUUCUCCUCUAGAGUUCUUUUUAAAAUAAAAUACUAAUAUCUAUUAUCUAAAUAUUAAAUUCGGAAUUACAAAAAUAACCAAAAAGAUAAAACACGUUAAACUAAUAACUGCAGAUCCGUAGUUGACAAUACGCGUCCACGCCUUAUCAACAAAGUUCUUCUGAAGCUCAUAAUUUCUCCAGGAAAACAAUCAUCCUAAAAAAUCAUCUUGUAGCUCAACUUUAUUACCAAUCAAUAGAAUUACACCUACAGAAAUAAAACACAAGUAAAUCACUAUUAUUAAGUGCAAAACAUCGAUAUUAAAGAAAGUAAACAAUGCAAAACUAGAGCAUAAAUUGCACUCUAACAAUAAUUAUUGUUUUUUUGUGUUCAUGUUUUUAAUUUAUUGGAUUUAGUUCACAAUUUAUUUUACAACAACUGAAAUAGAUGUUAAUUAGGAUAGAUUCAUUUUCUUGUUUAGUAUAUAGAAUUUUCUACUUUAAUUUAAUUGUAUCUUAAUUUUUUUUUUUGUUUAUAUAUUGUUAUGCAGUGAAUCAAGAGACCUAGGAAGAAAAAAUUAUGGUAUUCAACUUUCAUAAGGAUUCAAUUGCUCAGUCCACAUUAAUUCUAUCUUUUGUCAACACCAAAAUAUCAUUGGAAAGAGUGCCGCGUAGCUUUUGGUGUAUUAUCUUUUAUUUAAUUUUUUGUCAAGGAUUCAAUGACUAAUACAUAUUUAUUUUAUCUUUUAGCAACAUUAAGUCAUUGUAGUAGCAUCAUGCGGCUUUAAGUCAUUGUAGUAGUGUCGUGUAGGAUUUGUAUUUUGUUUAAGUUGCACAUGUGUUUGUUGAAAUUAUUUAUAAAAGAAUAUUAUUCCACUAAUCCAUUGAUUUUUCUUUUUUCCAUGGGGCAAUUAAUAAAAUCAAUUUGGGCCAUAUAUUUGUCAAUUAAUUCACUGAUCAUUUUCCUAGAGGGGAUUAAUAAAAUGAUAAUUUUAACGAUGAAGUAGAAUAAAAUGAGUUUCAAUAAUCAUUUUCUUCGAAAUACUAAAAUUUAAUUAGAAAUAUAAAUUUUUUCAAACUAAAAUAACAUAUUUUCAAUUGCAUAACCAAUUAGAACUAAUAUUUUUCCGAUUUUUUUUCAUCUGUUUUUACCCCUAGAAAAUAGUGUAUUUUUAAGAGUAAUCAGUUAGUUGAAAUUGAUAUUGCAAAUACAACCGCAAUCGAGAAUUCUCUCCUUUACUACUUAAACUAGAAAAUAGAACCGCGUUUCACGCGGCUUUGAAAAAAUUUAGUAUUAUCUUUUUUUCUUACUUUACACUUGAUGAAAUUGAUAAAAAAUAUGAAUUGAUUUUUUUUUUAAGAUGAGGCGGCCUUAUAAAAAAUAAAAAAAGAUAUUAGCCAGCAAUACAAAUAAAGAAGCAACGCAAGAUAAAGAAUAAAAUGAGAUAAUAUAUUAUAGAGUGAUUUUAUUCAUUCUAAUUGUGUGUGUACAAAAUAAAAAGAUGAGCUCUCCUUUUUAUAGUUACAUAAUCACUCCAUGAAAUUAAUGAAAAAUUAUGGAUCAUAAUUCAUUGUGAGAUAGUGGGAGUUAUAGGGAAGCUAAAGGUUGCUAAUGGGAGAUAGUGGGGAGACUAAGAGAUAUAUGUUAUGAACAUCUACAUUUAUUUUAAUAAAUUCAUAACACUCCCCCUUGGAUGUUCAUUACAAAGAAUAUGCCUCAUUAAAAUCUUUACAUAAUUGUUAUUGUGUAAUAACAAUCAAAUUAAUUAUGAAAAGAUGAAAAGCCAAAUCUAAAAGAAAAUUUAUCUAUUUAUUAGAUAAUAGAGAAUAUACAAAGAUGAGAAAUUGUGAUGCCACAUCACCUCCUCAAAUCCCAACUUUAUAUAUAUAUAUAGAUUGGUCAUGAAUAUGAGUCCUCAGUCACAUGUCCAUAUUAAUUUUGAGAAAUUUAUAAAAAUGACCAUAGAACUUUUACGUUUUUCAACUUUAACCCCCCAAAAUUUUUUCUAUCAUAACUAGCCAAAUAUCUUAUUUUUGGACUAGAUUACCCUCAUCACUUUCAUCAAAUUCACAAAGGUAUGCCACUUUUUCAAUUCCAGCACCACUAAAUACGAAUCUUCCUCAACAACUUAACAAACCUUCAUCACUCUCAACAAACUUCAUCACUCUCAAUAAAUCAACAAAUUCCAUCAAACAAACAUUGCAUAAUUGAAGAUACAAUCAUCAAUUGGAGAGCUUCUUAAAAUUAGUUUAUGCUCUUACACAAUGUAAACCUUUAAUCUAUUGAUUUUAUCAACUAAGUUCGAAAUUAAAGUGGGUUUUGUUGCAAAUGUUGUUAUUUUUCAUUCAUAAAACAAUGUGAUUUGUUAAAGUACUUAGUUUGAGUUGAGAAAUGAAGAAAAAUCAUUAAAAAUACAGAAAAAUCGGGCAAAAAAUGAAGUCCAAAACAAGUGAGACAAGCAGUGAGACAUGUGUCUGUCUCACAUAAACCCACUGAUUUUAUGGAAUAUAUGAUUUUGGAUUUGAUUUGUCUCGUCGUAAGCUUCGAAACGGUAUAAUUAUUACAAUAUUUUGGCUCACUACUCCGAACCCCAAUACACAUAAUCUCUCAAAUCACUAGAACAAGAGCUUUUAUUAUUUAAGCUCUACAAAACUCUCUGCUCUACAGGAAAUGCUUCUCACAAAAUUGGAUGCAGAAAUGAGGAGGAGGAACCUCUUUUUAUACCAAAACUUGGCUACUGUUCAUGCUUUAUUUAAUUAUUAUUUUUUUUCUUCUUCCUUUUCGGUCCGGCAUUCAUUUUUUCUUCCUCUUUUGUCUUCUUUCUUCUUUUCUUUUGUUCCGGUCAAAGAAGCAACCAAUGCAUUCUUCUUCAAAAUCAGUGGGCCCACCUUCUAGAAGGGUGGUGCCCACAUGCCAUUUUCAUCAUUAAAUAGAUGAGGGUUGGAAUAGAAUCUUUUCAAUGUGAAUCAUGAAGGAUCUAUUCAAAAUAAAAGUGAUAAAGAUUAAGAAAGAACUUAAGAAGCUAAGAGCUUUUAGAAGUCUUUGAAGAAAUAAUAUUAAUUUGAAAGGAAAAGAAUUUAAAAUGAAGAAGAAAAAGAUAAUUGAUAAGAAGUAAGACUAACUGUACAUCUGAUUGAGGAACAGGCUUGUUAAUUCAAACUAUUAUAACCAAUUGGGAAUUGAAUUAAGUUAACAGUUAACUCGUAAUUGAAUGUCUAAACUAACAAUGUAUACAAUUACAGAUGAGACUAUAAAAUUGCAAAAAUACUGCUGAUUGUGAAUCAAUUUGAACAUGCCAAUCCUUAGGAAUUCCUUUCAGUAUCAUGGGAUUUAGAUCUCAAUUACCUUUUUUAUUUGAGUACGAUGACAUCCCGAACUAUCAAAAAUACCCACUUGUCCAAACGUGCCUAUGUCCACUUUAUCAUUUAUAUAUGAAAUGUUCUAAUUAAAUGGAGCAAGUCCACAUAAUACAAUCAUUUUCAAUUACCCAGCAUUUGGAAUACAGAUGCUUUGUUUCUUCGUUUUUUUUAUUUUUUGUUCUUUUUUAUUUACUUGAUACAACUAAUAAGUAAACUCAUAGCAUUUUCUAUCACCUCUUUUUUUUUUGGGAGUAUUAGUAAAUCAACUCUGUAAUGCUCUGCCUCUUUACCAUAAAAGCUGCAUUUUAAUGGCAUCAGCUUACAGUUAUGUGUACUAAGUAAAACAAUUCUUUAUUGUGACAUUUUCAUCCUCCAGAAAAUACAUAAAUAAAAUAAAGGAAAUUUUAUUUUUGUUAAAAUCCAUGAAUAUUAAUUACUACCUUGUUCACUGUUCAGUAAAAAUAAAACAACAGUUUUUUUUUUUUUUAAUUUAACAAUAUUGUGUUAGAAUAUACUUCCCAGGUAAGGUUGAUAGAAAAAACCAAAUUUCAAUCAGUAUUGGGAUUCUGUCCCAAAACAAGCACUUACUUAUUACAACUUUUACUAACUUAUUUUUCCACCACACAAUUUACUCAAUUUUUAUUUAUACCACACAAUUUAACUUAUUUUAACUACCACUAACUUAAGUUACUUGGCUAGGGUAAAAUUAUGUUGCAACUGUGGUAUGAUACCACAAUUACAAUCAAUCAUUAAAUUUACAGUUGUACAAUUGUAUUUAUUGGACCUAAUGAUUAAAAGUAACUGUGGUAUCUUGCAACAUAAUUGGACCUACUUUGCUAACAUAUUAUAGAAACCAACAUCCCAGAUUUUUCUUAAGAUAUUUCUACAGAUAUUUUAACAUUUUAGAUUAUAAAUUACUUUUCAACACUUAAUUUAAUCACUGAUUGUUGACGACGACGAAGCCAACAAAUUUGUUUCGUUGUGCUAAUCGGACAAGCGAUAAGGACUUCACAAGAGUACAAAACAGAGCCUCGAUCUAAUAAUAUUACUGAACAUAGCAUUUUUGUUUCCUUAUUAAUGGAUUUGUUUCCUUAUUAAUGGAGAGAAGCAGUUCUGUUUUUGCAGUGAUUAAGCGCAUAGAAGAUAUUAAUGGCUUUACUUAUCAUCAUCAACUUCCUUUUGUGUCUCCCCUUCUUCCUCUUCUUCUUUGCUUUGCAAAGGCUCAUAACCUCAAGAAAUAAUACUAAAUUACCACCCGGCCCCUGGGGCCUUCCCUUAAUCGGUAACUUACACCAGUUUGAUGUCUCAAAGCCUCAAGUGUCAUUUUGGGAGCUGUCACGGAAAUAUGGCCCCCUCAUGUCCUUGCGUCUUGGUUUUGUGCCAUCCCUAGUAGUUUCCUCAGCAAAACUGGCUAAAGAGAUAUUAAAAACCCAUGACCUUCAAUUUUGUAGCAGGCCAGCCUUGGUAGGACAACAAAAGUUAUCUUACAAUGGUCUUGAUUUGGCGUUUUCACCCUAUGAUGGUUAUUGGAGAGAGAUAAGAAAAAUUUGUGUCAUUCAUCUCUUUAACUCUAACAGGGUAGAAAAUUUUCGACCCAUUAGAGAAGAUGAAGUUUCAAGAAUGAUUGAAAAGAUUUCAAAAUCAGUUGCUGCUUCUAAUCCCGUAAACUUAAGCGAGGUAAUGAUGUCUCUUACCAGCACCAUUAUUUGUAGAAUUGGAUUUGGCAAGAGGUAUGAUGACGAUAAAGCAACAAGUGCAAGAAGUAGAUUCCAUGCCCUGCUUAAUGAAACUCAAGCCUUGUUUGUAAGCUUUUUUGUUACAGAUUAUUUUCCUUUCAUGGGCUGGAUUGAUAAGCUCACAGGAAUGAUGCAACGCCUGCAAAAUAACUUCCAAGAACUCGAUAGAUUCUACCAGGAACUCAUCGACGAGCAUUUGGAUCCAAACAGAACAAAAUCAGAAUUGGCGCAACAGGAGGAUAUAAUUGAUGUUUUACUUCAAAUACGAAAAGAUCGUGGAUUUAAAGUUGACUUGACUUUGGACCACAUCAAAGCGGUGCUCAUGGUGAAUAAUUUUAUAAAUAGUUAUAUGUAGACUCGUGCUCAGGCGCAGACUUAAAAUUUUGUGCAGAUACCCAAUUUUACAGUCUUGUAAAAUGGUUUAUAAUGCUGUAAAGUGCCUUUGAUGUCCGCCUGAACAUGAUUAAUUUAAUGUAAUUUUAUUUGCUUUUAACUAAUUUACUAUGUAUGUAUGUAUGUUGUUUGUUUUGCAGAACGUACUCGUUGCUGGAACAGACACGAGUGCAGCAACUGUGGUUUGGGCCAUGACUUACCUAAUGAAGAAUCCUAGAGCAAUGAAAAAAGUUCAACUGGAAAUCAGAUCGUUGAUUGGGUGCAACAAAGGCUUUGUAAAUGAAGAUGAUGUUCAAGAACUGCAUUAUCUUAAAGCGGUAGUGAAGGAGACAAUGAGAUUGCAACCCACAGUACCAUUACUAAUCCCAAGAGAAACAAUUCAAAAGUGCGUAAUAGAUGGGUAUGAAAUACCAGCUAAAACACUUGUCUUUGUAAAUGCAUGGGCGAUAGGAAGAGACCCUGAAGCUUGGGAGAAUCCGGAGGAAUUUUAUCCGGAGAGAUUCGUUGAUAGCUGUAUUGACUUUAAAGGGCAACACUUUGAAUUAAUACCGUUUGGUGCUGGCAGAAGAAUUUGUCCUGGGUUGAAUAUGGGAAUCGCAACUGUGGAUCUCGCACUUGCUAAUCUUCUUUACAAAUUUGAUUGGGAAAUGCCGCCUGGAAUGAAGAGCCAAGACUUGGACUUUGAUGUUCUGCCGGGAAUUACUAUGCAUAAGAAGAAUGCUCUCUCUCUUUCGGCUAAGUAUCAUGAGUAGGUAAAUUAAGGCACCUCGGACAAUAAGAGUUUGAUCUGAACUAAAUAUAUGUUAUAGAGAUUGCAUGUAUGUCCUGAAUUGUGCUUCUCAUGUUUCCUUUCUUUCUUCUUAUGUAUAAUGAAUGUUGAUGUCUAAGUGCCCAUAGGCUGAGUGGUUUUUAAUAAUUAAAUUUCUUUUAGUUCAAAAUUUUGGGAGGUAAGGACUAGAGAAUAAUAGUUACUCUGCUCACUCUCCUAUACUAAAAAAAAAAGGUUGAUAUGAAUGUGAAUAUUAAUCUAGUACGUUCAUUUCAUCUCAUAUUUUUUCUCCUAUAUUUUUUUCUUUAAAUUUAACUUCUAUCACUUAACCUGCUAUCUUUUUAUAUGAUUGGAUAGAGAUUGAAAUUUUUGCUGUUCCAUCUCAAUGUUAAUGCUUAUAUUAUCUUCACACCUUUACUGUAAUUUUUUACUUUUACUAUUAGAUGCUGAUAGGGUCUUUUCUUGGAGAUUGCUUCACAAAAAAAAUUCUGAAAGAAGAUUUUGUUGAUCGGAUAGCAAGCUUAUCCAUAUAGUUUAAUGGAUUAUCUGCAAGAGCUCUUUUUAGUGCGCAUACAGUUGUCCCUUCAUGUUAGCAUAUUCAUUCUGUCGUCAAUGAACUUUUGCAUUUAAAUGGUAUCAGUUCAAGUGAUGAAUGAAUUUUACCUAUUGCCUAUCUUGGACUAAAUUUAAUUUCAAAAAAUGAGCUUCCAGCUUAUGACUUAUACGUAUCUUGCACUUUGGUUUUACGAUCACCAUUGGAUGGAAGAGUGGCUCGAGUUUGUUAAUUGCUUCAGUCCCAGGACUAGUGUUUGGAAACAUAAAAUUUCUCAGUUCAGCAGCUAUAAAUCUGUUUCAUGAUUGUUAUUGCACACUAUUUCCUAUAUUUUUGUCUCCAUGCUCAUACUGAAUUAGUGGUGCAUUUGUCAUCUUUCGCCUCUCAUUAAAAUGUGCUUAUUAUUUUUUAUUUCAAUCGUAGGAUGGGAAGAUUGAUACUGAUUCCAUCUACAAUGGGUUUAAAGACAACGUGAGGUUAAUGUGGGAGCGUUUCUUGUCAUCCCAGCAAAUGUUGACAUAAACAACAGACUGCAAGCUUCCCCUACUCUCUGUUCAUAUUUGCAUUUGUGUGCAUCUUGUACUUGUUGUUGCAGAAAGAUGAAUAUGUAAGAAUAAGAUCGUGUUUGUAUGCAAUGGUCAAAUGUUUUUGCAAAAAAUGUCGUUGCUUGAGUUCCUCAAUUCUCAUUCUGAACUUCAAAUUUUGUACAUUUCUUUAACUUAAUUUUUUUUUUUUCUGUGUAAUAGUAGUAUAAGUUUGGUAUCAAAAUUAAGCUAGUGACAUACUUGGAUCACUUGGGAUCCACUUGCAAAUGUAUUUUGAAGAAAAGUUUUCUCCCCGCCUUUUAUGUAAUCACACCCACCAGUAAUAUGGUAAUUUAUUGAAAGGUCCUUGAUGCCCGGUAAAAGUUAUAAUUAAAUUAAUAAACUUAUCUUUUUAAAUUAAUAAACUCAUCUUUUUGAAUAAGUUCAUCAUUUUGUACGUAUAUUAGUUUUUUUUUUUUAAAUUCCUUUUAUUUCUAAACUAUUGGUUGGAAGCAAAUAUUUCACUGUAAUCUCCUGUCGACCAAAGGAGAUGCCUUUCCCAAAGCAAGAAAAGAAAACACAAAAAGCCCACUUCAAAAACUUGUGCAAGAAGGAGAUGUGAUUACGCUGUCUUUCUGUUUCUUGGUGCGUGUAUAGAUAUAUACAUACACACAUAAGUCUGAGGACCAGCUGGCCAACAGCCCACUAGGAAGCAAUUUUAAAAUUUUUGGUCAGUAUUGUUCUUUAUAUCUUAUGAAUUUUUCCUUCAAUUAUUAUAUUUUCACUCAGUUUUGUUUUUGGGCACGCGUUAUGUGAUUUUCUUUUGAUGAUUUCCGUGGCUUCUUUUUAGCUCUUAUUUUACUGUUUCUACUGGUUAGUUUAGCUACUGUCUACUGAGAUAAAAUUAUUUGCUUGAAUAACUUAAUCUUUUGCUAUUUUAUUACGUUCAGUUUAUAUACAGUUGAUUCAUUGUAACAAAUGUUAUCAUAAAUGAUUCUUGAGUAAUUUCAUUUAUUUACUUUUUCUUCUUUCAUAGUUGGCCUGUACGGUAUCAUUUACUUUUAUCUUUUUUCAAAUUUCUUUUAAUCUACAGAAUGUUUGUUUUAGUCCUGAUCUUGGGUUACUGAAAUGUUUCAUUCCCUUUUCCUAAGUAUUUUUGUUGCUUGUUUAUCGGGCAAUACUGCAACAGUGAUUUUAAUUCACAAAAUUCUGUAAAUACUUAUUAUUCUUAGUGUGGUUUUAAGGUAGAGUGAAGUUAAUAUUAUCAUAAUGGCUUACAUUCCUCCACAUAUGAGGCAUACGAAGGACCCCCAGAGGCCAUCUCCAGUUCCAGAGAUGAUUGUGCCUAAAUUCAACAGAAAAUUAAACUUGGGAUCAUCCAAGCAUAAUGCAGACAUAAGUGGAAAGAUCGUGUAUGCAGAUCCUGCCAUACACAGGUGGUUCAUUUGUGGCUUGGAUAAUGAUAGCAGCAGUCCUUCUGUCCGCUUUGUGGAGUUUUCAGACGACCCUGUUGAGCAUAAAAAAUCGACGACCAUUAAUCUGGCUCGAGGUUACUGAUCUGCAUUUGUAAUUUUAUCUUAAAUAUGUUCUACUUUCUUUCUUUAUUUAUAUCUGGUGCUAACUUUAGUUAUAUUGACAUUUGGAUUUUGGGUUGGUAGAUAACGAUAAAUUGUGUGGGAAUACAUCAAGAAGCCCAUGGGAAUCGAUAGCAGAAAAUGUAUGGCCAGAUGUAUUGAGUGCUUGUAAUAUUGUCAAGAACGAAAUGGAGGAAAAGCCAACAAUGGUUGCUAGAUUUGGCCAUCAUCUUUUCCGUGAGUAUGUGAUCUGGUUCCAUUGCUGUAACAGCUUGAAUUUUUUAUUAGGUCAUUCCUUUUCUUUGGACUUUGAAAUUAAAGCAGCAAAAAUGCAUAUUCAUACUUAAUUCUGACAGAAAUCUUAUGGUCAUAUAAGUGGUGGCAGCUAAAAUUAUGAGCUUUACCAUUAACCCUACCACCAGCUGUGGAUGACUGUAAAUCGGAUCUCUAAACCAGGGACAAAAGUUAAAAUUGCUUUUAAAAGCCAAAGAGGAAAAUGGCAAUUUAUAGUGCAUGCACUUCUUUCAGACUUGUAUCUCAUAGAAGCUUUCAUGGCAUCUGGAAUUUGGCUUUGGCUUUGCGUAGGACAUUUCAAUUGUUGCUGGUGGAAACAAAUAUAUCCAUUGUCUUAGUUUUGCUUGAUUUCCGGUGCAAGAAACAAAUAAAUUUGUUGCCGUGGCCAAGUUUUGUUGUUUGAUAUUUCAUUGGGACAACAAAGUAUACCACUGCUUCGCCUAUUUCUUACAUCUUUGCAUCAUAUAUUUCCAUUCUUCUAUCACAUCUUUGAAGCUUCUACUAGUUCUCAUAUUAGAAGCGCCUCAAAGAAAUAAUUAUUAUAUUAUUCGUCUUAAUGAAGGAGUGACAUACUGAGCUUAGAAAAUGCGAAAGAAGGUCAGGUUGCUGAAUCUGCUUUGAGCCCACUGAGGAGAUGCUUUUACACUGGUGUCCCUCCUACAUACAUGGGAAAAAUUGUAAAUGAAGUUGUGCCAAAAAUUGGGGUUGGUUUUGUAGAGAACAAGGAUAUAUACCAUGUCAAGGUAGUUCUCCUGCAGUCCUGCUAAAUACUUUAGUAGUCAUGACCAAGUUUCUUUUAUCUCUCAAUUAAUUAGCCAUUGAUUCCCCCCCCCCCUUUCUUUUUCUUGUGUAGUUGUCUGAUGGCACACGACAAAUUACGUGCAAAUGUACUGUUAAAGAAGAUCAAAAGCUUCAUCUCUAUAAGGCAAGUCUUUUGCUACUGGCUGAGUAUUAUUUAUGGACAACGGGUCCAAGUUUAUAAGUUGCCUCUUGUGUUAAGGAGACUUUUGCUAGUGGAAACAUUGAAACAAGACUUAUGAUGUUUUGAUUUGAAUGAUAUAAUCUUUUCACUGUGAAUUAUGAAGGAGAUGUCGAAUAUAAGCGAUAGAUAUCAAGAAAGAGACGAAACCUUUGUGUCUCAAAAGAACCUUUUAGAAGUCUCUCCAGGAAUAAUCUCAGUUAAGAGGAAAAGAAUUUAAAAUGAAAAGAAGGAAGAAAAUUCUCAAGAAGUAAGACUAAUUCUACAUCUAAUUGAGGAACAGGCUUGUUAAUUUAACAAGGAAAGCUCCAGUAGCUAUUUAUUAUAAACCAAUUAAAAAUUGAAUUAAAUUAAUAGUUAACUUGUAAUUGAAUGUCUAAUCCAACAAACUAUGCAUAAGAUUACAGACGUAACUAUGUAAUACAAAAAACCUCUGCUUAUUGUAGACCAAAGUGAAUAUGCCAAUAUUUAGGAAUUUCUUUCAGCAUCAUGGGAUUUAGAUCCCUAUAAUCUUUUUUUAUUUUAGUGUAGUGACGUCCGGAAGACCAGAAUUAUCACGUACCUCGUACUAGUCGUUUUAUUUAUUUUGUCUUUUAAAGCGCCACAUUAUUUCCCAUACAGUCAUAAUAUAUCUAUUUUUUGUUUAUUUAUCGUUGCCGUGUGUGGAGUCUCAUCUUGAAUAUGAACAUUUUUCCGGUAGGUCGAACUGAACUCUGUUCGUCACAUGGUAGCAGACAUGUUAUGCGUUCAUAAAAAUCUAGACCUGAGGUUGGCACUAUGUUCAAAGAGUACCUUAUCUGCUCUCUCGGUAAGUCAAUCUGCUCCUCCGUGCAUGUUUUAGCUGGACUUUUAAGUUACGCCUUCUUUUUUCCCCUUUUUAUUUUAUUUGGUCAUUUGCUUGUUGGAAUCAUCAUCAUUACAGAAUGAUGAAGAAAAAUUCAAGACCAGGGGAAAUAAGGAAAUAUUAAACUUAUAGCUUUUGUUUUAUCAUAGAAAGUUUACUUUCAAGGGGUUGAGAAAAAAUUUAUAUAUAUAUAUAUACACACACACAUACACACACACACACACACACACACGACAAGCUUAAAACGGUUAAACAUUAGCAUGCAUGAUCCUUUUCUUCAAAACUGAAACUUUACAAAUGUUAAAAAUAGAAUAACAAAUAAAUUAUUAGAUUUCCAAAAUCAGUUACCGUUAUGCAGGCUUAAAACAAAAGUUAAAUAUAAGCUCUUUUUUUUUUUUUUGGGGGGGGGGGGGGGGGGGGGGCGUGUGUGCCUAUGAGUAGUCCCAGCAAAUGAAUUCUAUGAUCAAACUGAAAUUUUUGAAUUUUCAGGAUGAUGAAAUGAACAGCAUUAGAAUUCUGAUUAAUUCAGCCAUUCCGGAUCCGGAAGUCAAGGGUGGGUUAAGAUGGCCCAUGGGGAAGUCAUAUUCAGGGGAUUACACAAUUGUUGGGGUUUGGCACAAUGAAUUUAAAUCAUAUAAAAGCCCAUCACUAAAGCUUAAGGUAAGAAAUGUUGAUCGAUUUAUUUUCAAGACUGGAACUGGGGAAGCUACGAUUGAGAUUAAUCUAAAGUUGAGAAGACUAGUUUCAGAGAUUCAGGUACUUGCUGCUUUUUGCUUUAACUUUUAUCACAAAACCUACUAUCUUUGUGCAUGAUUACAUGGAUCUUGAAAUUCUUGCUGUUAUGUCAUAAUGUUAAUGCAUAUUUUGUCUUCACGCAUUUCUUACUGAACUUGUGUCUUGAGCUGUAAUUGUAAUUUCCAAUUUUUACUAUUAGAUGGGUAUUUUAUUGGGGAUUUCUUUACUUAAAAAAAAAAUAUGUUUGACAGAGAAUAUUUUAACGAUGAGAUUGCAAUAUUGUAAUAGAUAAUCUUCAGGAACUCUUUUUACCUUUUAGUAGUUAUGCAGUUGCUCCUCUGUGUUAGCUUAUUUAUUCUAUCAUAUGUAACGAAUGACUUUUUACCAAAUUUGAUUUCAAAGCUGAGCUUCCAGCUUAUGACUAAUAUUUGUGUCUUGCACUUUUGUUUUACAAUCACCAUUAGAUGGAAGAGUGCUUAGAGUUAGUUAAUUGAUUCAAUCCCAGGAUUAGUCUUUUGAAACAUAAAAUUUAUCGGCUAAGCUAUAUAAAUCUGUUUCAUGUUUCUUAUCGCACACUAUUUCGUAUGGCUUUGUCUCCAUGCUCAUACAAAAUUAGUGUUGUAUUAGAUGUCUUCUGUCUUUCAUUCACAUGUACUUAUUACUUUUUCUUUCAAUCGUCAGGAUGGGGAGAUUGAUACUGAUUCCAUCUACAAUGGGUUUAACGACAACUUGAGGUUAAUAUGGGACCAUUUCUUGUCAUGGGAGUCAUAACUUUUGACAAAAACAACAGAUUGCAUGCUCUCCCCGCUCGGUUCAUAUUUGCGUUUGUGUGCAUCCUGCAGUUGAAGAUGUAGAAUGAUGUAAAUGCAAGAAUAAGAGCAUGUUCGUAUCCAAUGGUAAAAUGUUUUUGCUAAAAUGUAUGGACUUGUAACAGCUUGUUGCGUGAGUUUCUCAAUCUCCUGAACCUCAAAUUUUGUCCUAUUUUCACCCCGGCUUUUUCCCCCCGUCCUCUGUAAUAGUUAUAUUUGGUAUAAGUUUGGCAGUUCCUGUGUAAAGUGUUUCAUAUUCAUGUGUGGAAUAAAUAUCAACAUCCAGAUACAAGAAAGUUUGAUUUUAUUUGUAAGACCUGUCUCUCAAAGUUAAUCUAGUGACAUGCUUGAAGCACUUGGGAUCCACUAGUUGGAUGUAUUUUUGUUAAGAUUUAUUUAGCAUUUUGUAUGUGUAUCAGUGCCUUUUUUUUUUGUUGUUAAACCGUUGGUUAGAGGGCAAAUAUUUCACAUUAAAGUGGGGUCUGCUUGCCACCAAGGGAGAUGCCUUUCCCAAAGCAAGAAACGAAAACUCAAAAGCCCACUUCAUAACUUGUGUAAGAAGGAGAUGUAAUUGACAUAUGCUGUCCUUUUUCUUGGUGCGUGUAUGUGUGUGUAUACACACUUAAUUCCGAAGAUCAACUGAGCCAACAGCCAAAACUUGAAAGCAAUUUUAAAAUUUUCGGUUAGUAUUGUACUUUAUAUCUUUUGAAUUUCUCUUUAAUUUAUUAUAUUUUCACUUUAGUUUUGUUUCUGGGUACUCUUUAUGGGCCACAAUUAUGGUACCACUGUGGUACCAUACCACAGCUGGAUCCAGCCAUUGGAUCCGGCCUACAGUGGUCCCCAUAGCUGGAUCCAAUGGCUGGAUCCAGCUGUGGUAUGGUACCACAGUGGUACCAUAGCCGGACCCCUCUUUAUGUGCUUUUCUUCGAUGAUUUUGGUGAGCUCAUAUUUUACUGUUUCCACUGGUUAGUUUAGUUAUUGUCUACUAAGAUAAAAUUAUUUGCUUCAAUAACAUAGAGUAUUGAGGUGUUGUAAUUUAAAAUUUUAGAAAAAAAUAUAUUUAUAAAAUAAAAGUUAAUAGUAUGUGGUAAAUAUAAUUUUAAAAUAAUAAUUUUAAUAAAAUUAGUAAAGAUAUAAUAGAUUUUCAUCAUAUAAAAGUAAAAUCAAAUCAACUUAAUUUCUAAACUACAUAAAUUAAUUUUUAUAAAACACUUUAGUGCUGUAACUACCCAACCUCAAUCUAAAGUAUAGCCUUAAUUGUUUGCUAUUUUAUUAUGUGAUUGUAUAUAGAGUUAAUUAAUUGUAUCAAAUGUCAUUAUAAAUGAUGCAUGAGCAAUUUCAUAUUGUUUUUCUUUCCUUCAUUGAUAAUUGGCUUGUCGGAUAUCUUUGAACUUUUUUUUUUCGCCUCAAAGUUCUUUUAGUCUGCAGAAUGUUGGUUUUAGUUUCGAUCUUGGUUACUGCAAUAUUUCAUUCAUUCUUUCUAAGCAUAGUGGGUUCAUUUCACAAAAUUCUGUAAUAAGUACUUAUUGUAGUUUAAGGUAGCGCGAAGUAAUAUUAUCGUAAUGUCUUACAUUCCACCACAUAAGCAGCAGUUUGUAAUCAAGACUGCAGAGAAUCUUGCAGAUAUAUUGACUAAGGUGGUGACGACAAUUAAGUUUGAGCAUUAUCUAAACUUGAUCAAUAUCUUACAAGUUUGAAAAUAGUCAGAGAAGACAGAGACUGGAGGAUGGUUUGUUGAUAGUCGGCUCAGAUUUACUAAAUUUUCGUUAAGGUAGAGAAUUGUUGAAAAAUCAAGCAUGCUUGCAUGAGCUAGCUAGCAUGCAAAUUUCAAGCCCACCAAUGUUCAGCUAGCGUGAUCCAAUUGCAUGUGCUAGCAUGAUCUCUUCGUCAAAAGUCACACCAAAGCCAUUAAAAUUGAAAAUGGCCAAAGUUUUUUUUUCAUGCAUUUAUAUUGUAAGAUUUGCCUAUAAAUAGAGGAGUAGAAUGCAUUUGUAAAGCAUCCCAAUUUGUGAGAAGUAGAGAGCAAUUGCAAGUGAGCUCUUUGAGAGAAUUUGAGAGAGCUUCCACUUGAGUGUUCUAGUUGUUGUGCAAAUUUUAAUGUACUCGCAAGCGCACGAAUCUAUUGUAGUAUAGAUCAAUGGUGACGAGUGUCGAUCCCACGAGGAGGUGGAUUUUAAUUGUGUAUAGAAUUAAUUUUGUAAAUGGGUGGUUGGAUCUGUGGUGGAAAUGAAUUGGAAUAUGCUAAAACUUAAAUUAAAAUGGCGAGAAUAAAUUCUAAAAUUGGAAUUGCAAUGGCGAGAAUAAAUUGAAGAGAAAUGUAUUGAAAUGACGUACUUGGGUAUCUGGAUCCGUAUCAACAUGCAUCAUGGGCUAAAUAAUCCGUAUUAAUGCCAAUUAAAUCAUGAGGGGGGAAUCCACACCUCAUGAACCACGCUCUAAUCAAUAUGGUGCUAAGGGCUUAUCGUGCCAAAUAAUAAUAACCUUAUACUAGAGAGCCGGUGUAACCAAGGCGGUAUCUAGACAAGAUCAGUAUUAUUUGUCGACGAUAAGUCAAAUCAUCCACAAAAACUAGAGGGGAAAAGAAAAUAAAUUUACCAAAUAAAGCCCAUGACACAUGUUGAGACUUCACCUUCAACCCAAGCUUGAAAGGAAAUUAGCUACUCAUAAUUGAACUAGGGGCAAAAUGAAAAUUUAUUAAAAUACGAAGAAAAUACAAGAUGGAGAAGGAAUUACAGAAAAUGGAUCCCAAAAAUGGAUUCAGAGAUAUCAAAUUAGGGGGGGGAGGCCCCUUUUUUAUAGAUACAUGGAGUAAAUCAUGGCCAUCGGAUUAAAAACAGUUUGGACGCUCAGGAUUGCGCCACGUCAUCAGUCAACAGUCCACGGUUUGACCACGCGGAUGAACAGUAACACGGUUUGACCACGCGGAUGAACAGUAACGCGGUUUGGUUGAAAAUAAUCCUGUGUGAUGCAUGCACCGUACGCGAGAUUUUUCGUCCACUGAUAUGCUGCCACGUCACCAUCAACAGUACAUAAGAAUUUUAGUCCAACAGGAUCGUGACACCUCAUCAGUCAAUGCCACAUCAUCGGUCAAUGCCACGUCAUCGAUCCGUCUAUGUGAACAGUGUCGUGAACAGUAACGUAGACAGUACCGUAUACGUGAAUAGUACCGUACAUGUGAAUAGUGCCAUUUUUCUUUUUAUGCCCCUCCUAAGGUUUUCGACCGUCCUGAGUUCAAAAGUGAUGUCCGUUUUGCCAUCUGAUCUCUCCUUUAUUGUGAAAUAACUAUAAUGCCCCUAAAAUACAUAAAAUACUUAAUUAAAAUAAAACACAUGUAAUUAAAUCACAAGAAGGUUAAAUACAUAAAAGUAAGGGUUUUUAAUAAGACUUGAAAUGUAAAAUGACGGUUUUCUCCUUUAUAAAUAUGCAUUUUCUAACACUCAACACACCCCCCAACCAGCUUAUUGCUAGUCCCUAGCAAAUAAAGCGAAAACAAAAUUCAAAUUCAAAAUGAUUUUUUUUUUUUUUUUGAACUACUCGUGUUUAUUCAAUCAGAUUAAUGAUAGCAAUCAAAUAAAAGUAUAAGCAUUAUCUCCAGUCUAAAGCAACAUCACACCCACAUCAACCAUCCACAUGAAUUAGCCCAGUAGACUUUGUUAUAGCUACUUUCAAGAAUGACAUGUCAAACCCCAAAAUCUCACUUGAAGUAGUGACACUCUCACAAAGAAAUUAAAACCCAAUAAACAUAGUCACUCCAAUGAAUGGUAAUUGAGAGAGAAAAUAAUAAAGAAAUGAUAUCACAUGCUCUCACCAAGAUGAAAUAAAUAUGCCCUCAGCUUAGAAAUAAUGCGAUCUCAAGUCAAAUAAAAUGUUAGUCAACCCACUUUAUUUAUCUUUUUUUUUUAUUAUUAUUAUGCAUCACUACAUCUUUUUAGCCCAUAUAACUAGCUUCUACUUCAAACUAUAGUUCCCUAAAAUCAAGAAGGACUUUUAUUAGGACGUAACGUAGGCUAGGGAUAUGGCUAACAAAGAAAGGAAAUAAGGAAAACAAAGUGUAUGUUUGAAAAAAAUGCAGAAUUUUUUUUUUUUUUUUUUUUUUGGAACUUGCAAGGUGGAUUUCACCUAUUAUUGUUAUUUUUAUUCUUUUGAAACAACAACUUUUGUUUUUGUUUUUGUUUUUUUUGUUUUUUUUUUUUGCUUUUAUUUGGCAUAACUUCACUGAACAACAUAAUUAUUUACAUUUUCUCAAACAUAAAUAGGUGAUGGAACUUAAAAGACAUUGGGUAAUACUCCAAAUCGGAGUGGGUCAAGAUGAUAAGUUGACAAAGAAAAGGUUUUUGUUCUUUUUUUUUUUUUUUUUUUUUUUUUUUUUUUUAAGGCUCAAAAGGGGUAACUAUGGAUAUUUAAUAAAAGGGAUGGCUAGAAAGGCUCAAACGGAUCAAAGAUGGCCUUUCUAUCGUCUUUUAGGGCUCUAAAUAAUUAUCCAUAUCUACUAGUUAGAUGGGCCUCCCAAUGUAGCAACACACAUUUUUUUCUUUUUUCUUUUUUUUUUUAAUUUUACCAUAUUUUUUUUUUUUUAAAAGGGUUAACUUAAAAGAAAUCUAGAGAUCGUGUAUAAAAUAAUAAACUGCUAAGCUGUAUAGAGAAUGGGUAAAAGGGUUACUCUCCAAGAAAAUGAUAGGCUCAACUACUCACUUGGCACUUAUUUAUGACAUGUUCAUUCCUUCAAGCAACUCAUAUUUGUCUCCGACAUCAACAUGUAAAGUAGCAAACAUAGCGUAACAUCACUUAAGACCAAAGAUAAUACAAAUACUAAAAUUUGAAAUUAGUCAUGUCAUCCAAUGUUAAAACAAAUAACACAAUUUUUUUUAAACAACAUUCUACCCCCCAACCUAUUCUAAACAUGAAAGGAAAAUAUGCAUGCAGAAAUGUGAAAAUGAUGUAGAAAAAUUAAUUAGAAAAAGAAUUUUUUUUUUUUUUUUUAAACUAAGAAGAUGCGUUUCUAGAGGCACUACACUCCAUAUUCAGCCAUCUUCGACUCAAAAAUUUGAAACUACAUAUUUAUAAAGGAGAAAGAGGAAGAAAACAGGUUUUUUUUUUUUUUUUUUUUAAAACGAUGAAGAUGCGUUUCUAGAGUAACUACACUCCAUAUUCAGCCAUCUUCAACAUAAAAUGUUAGCAACAGUUAGUUUCUACAACAAAAAAUCAGUAAAAACUUAACCAAGAUUCCACAAUUGUCGACUAUUCCCUUCCCCCAACUAGAACGAAACAUUGUCCUCAAUGUUUUAAAGGAAAGAAGUAGAGUUUAGAAGACAUCACCUGGGUGGUGCAACACAGAAGAAAAUAUUUACAAGCGGAGAGUUAAAUCUAAUUUGUACUUCUUACUGCGGCUACUGUUACCAUCAUUAUUUGGUCGCUCCAACACAAAGGUCCAGGGGUCUGGCUCCGGUUUAUAAGCUUGUAACAUAUCAAGUAGCUCAUUAGCAGUGUGAGCACAAAUAAAGAGUUUUUUCACAUUAGAAGGAAUGAAAUAGUUUUUUAUUGCAUGGUUAAGAAAUGCGAUAAAGUCAUCAUAAAAGUUAUUGACAUUUAACAAACCGAUAGGUUUCUGGUGGAUGUGCAGAUGGGCCCAAGAUGCUAGUGUCAUAAGUGCCUCUAGUGUUGCAAGAUCUCCUGGAAGGAAAAUAAAAGCAUCAGCAUGAUUAAGCAUUUCAGUUAUUCUUUCUUGCAUACCUGAGACGACUAACUCUUCUCCAGUUGAUGAGUCAGACGAACUGCCCAAUGGUUUUAGGACUCUUGGGAUGAUGCCUAACACUUGACUUCCUCUGAUAAAAGCUGCUUCUGAGACCAUUUUUGAUAACCCUCGGUUACCUCCUCCAUACACCAAAUGUAAUUUUCUCGCUGCUAUGCUUCGACCAAGAUCUAUGGCUGCCUCAACGAACUCUUUAUGUUUGCCAUAGGUAAAUCCAGAAAGCACACAAAUGUUCUUGAAUUGUCUAUUGGGAGUAGCGGCCAUUGUGAUACUUCUCAAAAAUAAUUUGUGAGUGCUUGACAAAAAAUAGAUCACAUUUAAGAAUCUUGGUGACAGUGGAUCACAGCUGUGAAUGAGGUAACAUGUCAGUGUGAAAUAACGCGUGAAGCACAUGGCUUGCGAGUCAAAAAGGAAACAGUAAAAAGGAAAAAGCAAACAGUAAUAAAAUUAUUAAAGACAAUAAUGCAAACAAUAAAACAACAGUGAAAUGAAAUAAAAUAACAGUAAAGUAAAAUGAUAUUUACACGUAGUUGCGACUGUGGCUCACAUCUUCCUCUGGUUUUACGUCCAGAAACGGCUUGAACGCCCUCUAUGGGUCGAGGAUGGGCUUCCCAUCCAGUUUUCUUAUAAACUGGCAAACAGGGUCGUUUAUAGUCAGAUUCCCGAGACUAUAUCGUGCAUGCUCUUUCUGGAAUAAUGGCCAUAACCGGAGAAUCGCUCCUUGCACAUAUCCACUGGGAUGCGUUUCAAGAGACAAAAGGAUAUCAUCCAAUGACUCCUUAUUCAAGCCAUCCCUAAUGAAUUGAAUCUUAUCUUCCCUGUUAUCAGACACCAUUCCUAAAGAACAUGGGUUUCUAUCGCAACUCAUUCUGGCACACUUAUGACAAGCAACAGAAAUUCUUCGAGCUCGUCGUUUUCUUGCAUAAUUGCCUUUACCACAACCAGGCAUGUAUGCAAUAAAUUUAUGAGGUAACUCACCUGCCAAUCGUACUUUAGCCUCGAUUAACCAACGGAUGUCUGCAGGUAUGUUAUUCCUCAUGAGCAAUCGCAUGCGUUCAGACCGGGCUUUAUAGAUUGUAAGGAGGGCAUUCUGAGGAAGUGAAGGGAAUCGCUUGUGAAGCUUUGCUAAAAUCUCGUUUCUAUCCAUACCUUCGCCUCAGAAUAUCAGUUAUUAUGGGAAACUGAAGUUAACCGACUUGAUUGUCACGGAGUACCGUUAUCCGCCACUUCACCGGGGUAACAAACUAAAGCACACAAACAGAAAAACAAAUUAAAACACACAAAGAAAAUUAAAAUCGUCCUCUUAUUGAAUUUACCUCAAGCUCCAACUGGAUGUCGUAAACACUUCUCUCAAUGUCUCUGAGUUGGCGUUCUAAACCCUCAACAUAGGCUACUAACUCUGGUGGUUGUAGAGCCCAAAUGCGUUGUGUUUUACAAAAUAGAAUCUGCCUUUUGAGAUGAGUUUUGACACGUUGAAGUGGUUUAAGAAUGUUCAGGAGGAACGGUCUAAGUAUGAGACUCAUGAUUAAAAAUGAUAAGAGAAAACUUAAUUGUUAAACAAACACACUUAUGCAAAAAUAAUUUCAAUUAGCAAAAGAAUAAUAAAAAGAAAGAAAGAAAAAUCAAAUCAAUAAAAAGAGAAAAAAAAAAUUAAUUCAAAUCUGGUGGGUCACUCAAAUUUAUUUCGGUGUCUUCUUCAUGUGGUUGGUACUCUAGAUAUGGCUUUAAUCUUUGACCAUUAACUUUAAACGUGACACCGUUCUUUGGGUCUUUAAUUUCAAUUGCCCCAUGUGGAAAAACAGUAUGAACAAUAAAGGGACCAGACCAUCGAGAGCGUAACUUACCUGGGAAUAGGUGCAAGCGAGAAUUGAAUAAAAGCACUUUCUGACCUGGAGUGAACGAUUUUCUCAUAAUUUGCUUAUCAUGGAAGACUUUCAUUCGUUGCUUGUAAAUCUUGGCAUUUUCGUAUGCAUCAUUGCGAAUUUCUUCAAGUUCUGCCAGCUGUAAUCUUCUUUCUGAGCUGGCUUGCUGCAUGUCAAAGUUGAAUUUCUUGAUGGCCCAAUAUGCACGAUGCUCGAGUUCCACAGGUAGGUGGCAAGCUUUUCCAUACACUAGCCUGUAGGGUGACAUCCCAAUCGGGGUCUUGAAAGCCGUUCUAUAUGCCCAUAAUGCAUCAUCAAGUCGUAAUGACCAAUCUUUUCUGUCUGGCCUCACCGUUUUUUCUAAUAUGUGCUUGAUUUCUCGAUUGGAGAUCUCAACUUGGCCACUGGUUUGCGGAUGAUACGGGGUCGCCACUUUGUGUGUGAUUGAAUACUUUGUCAAAAGAGCUUUGAAUGUUUUGUUACAAAAGUGGGCACCACCAUCACUGAUUAUCGCUCGAGGGAAUCCAAAGCGUGAAACAAUGUUGCUUUUCAAAAAUCCUAUCACCACUUUGUGAUCAUUGGUUCUGCAUGGAAUUGCUUCCACCCAUUUCGAUACGUAGUCAACACCAACCAAUAUGUAUUGAUGGCCAAAAGAAGGGGGAAAGGGUCCCAUGAAGUCGAUACCCCAUACGUCAAAAAUCUCAACCACUAAAAUUGGAUUUAGUGGCAUCAUGUUCCUUCGUGUAAUGCUCCCCAUUCGUUGACACCUAUCACAUGAAGAACAGAAAGUGUAAGCGUCUCGAAAUAUAGUUGGCCAAUAGAAACCACAUUGUAAAACUUUUGUAGCUGUUUUCUUAGCACUAAAAUGGCCUCCACACGCUUGUUCAUGGCAGAAUGAAAGGAUAUUUUGAAUUUCACUUUCUGGGACACAUCGCCUAACAAUUUGAUCUGCACAAUACUUGAACAAAUACGGGUCAUCCCAAAAGAAAUUCUUUAUUUCCGCAAAGAAUUUAGCCUUGUCUUGCUUGGUCCAAUGCUCUGGAAGUUUACCUGUAACAAGAUAAUUAACUAUAUCAGCAUACCAAGGUAAUACUUCCACAUUCAUUAAUUGUUCAUCUGGAAAUGACUCAUUCAAUAUUAAUGGAUCUGUAAUUGUGUCAAAAUGGAGACGAGAGAGGUGGUCCGCCACAACAUUUUCUGUGCCUUUCUUAUCCUUGAAUUCCAAGUCGAAUUCCUGCAAAAGUAACACCCAACGAAUUAGUCUAGCUUUUGCAUCUUUCUUUGUGAGAAGAUAUUUAAGAGCAGCAUGAUCUGUGAAUAUAAUUAUUUUACAACCAAUGAGAUAAGAUCGAAAUUUCUCUAAUGCAAACACUACUGCUAGCAUUUCUUUUUCAGUAGUUGAAUAAUUCAACUGUGCAUCAUUCAAUGUCAUACUAGCAUAGUAAAUAACGUGGGGAAUUCGAUCAACUCUUUGUCCUAAUACUGCUCCUACUGUAUAAUCAGAUGCAUCACACAUGAGCUCAAAUGGUAAGUUCCAGUUUGGGGCCUGAAUGAUGGGUGAUGAUGUCAACAACUGCUUUAAUUUUUCAAACGCCAUGAGACAUGAAUCAUUAAAGAUAAAAGGUACAUCCUUAGCAAGUAAAUUGCAUAAGGGUCUAGAAACUUUGCUAAAAUCUUUAAUGAAACGUCUAUAAAAACCAGCAUGUCCAAGGAAAGAUCUUACUUCUCUGACUGUUUUAGGUGGAGGAAGAUUAGAAAUGAGAUCCACCUUGGCUUUGUCAACCUCAAUACCUUUGCUCGAAAUGAUGUGACCGAGAACAAUACCUUGUUUUACCAUAAAAUGGCACUUCUCCCAAUUCAAGACUAAGUUCUUCUCGGUACAUCUCUGCAGAACUAGCGUUAGAUGAUGUAAACAUUGAUCAAACGAGUCACCAAAGAUAGAAAAAUCAUCCAUAAAGACUUCAAGGAAUCGUUCAACCAUAUCAGAAAAAAUGCUCAACAUGCAUCGUUGGAAUGUAGCAGGUGCAUUACAUAAUCCAAAUGGCAUUCUCCUAUAUGCAAAAGUGCCAAAAGGGCAAGUGAAAGUAGUUUUCUCCUGAUCUUUUGGUGCUAUGGGAAUCUGAUUAUAUCCUGAGUAGCCAUCUAGAAAGCAAUAAAAUUCAUGGCCUGCUAAUCUAUCAAGCAUUUGAUCAAUAAAUGGUAAAGGAAAAUGGUCUUUACGUGUGACAGAAUUCAACUUUCUAUAAUCAAUGCAUACACGCCAUCCUGUAGUUACUCUAGUUGGUAUCAAUUCAUUAUCAGCAUUGGUAACUACUGUGACUCCUGACUUUUUGGGGACGACUUGUACAGGACUGACCCAUGAACUAUCAGAAAUUGGGUAAAUGAUACCUGCAUCUAAUAGCUUAAGGACUUCAGUUCUAACAACUUCUUUCAUGUUAGGAUUUAACCGACGUUGCAUCUCCCUAGUAGUUUUAGCAUUUUCAUCAAGGUGAAUGUAAUGCAUGCAGUCUACUGGAUUUAUACCUUUUAUGUCUGCUAUGGUCCAUCCUAAUGCCCCUUUGUGCUCUUUUAACACAUCCAACAACUUACCUUUUUGUUCGUCAUUUAGGGAUGAUGAGAUGAUUACCGGUAGAGUGCUUUCUUCUCCCAAAAACGCAUAUUCCAAUGUGUUGGGCAAUUGUUUGAGCUCGAGUUUUGGUGGUGAUUCUGAUGAUGGGAUGAGUUUCUUUUCUGACGGUGCUAGUUGUUCUACUCUUGACUUCCAUUUAUUAGUGUCCAUGGAUGGUGCUGAGUCAAGUAGGGCGUUGACCUCUUCGACCGAUCUAUCAAUAUCAAAAUCCAAACCAAAGUGAGUUAAGCAUGUUUGUAAAGGAUCAUCACUAAGGUUUGAAAGAAAAGUAUUAUCAACUAUUGUUUCUAUUAAAUCCACAUCAACAAUUCCAUCAUCUGCACUGUGAGGUUGUUUGGCAAUGUUAAAGAUGUUUAGCUCCAUAGUCAUGUUGCCGAAGGACAAUUGCAUAUUUCCGGUCCUACAUUGAAUAUGAGCAUCUGCAGUUGCCAAGAAAGGUCGGCCUAGAAUAAUGGGGAUGUGCUUCCUUGAGUCCUGUAUUGGUUGAGUGUCAAUUACAAUGAAAUCAACAGGAAAAUAAAACUUGUCUACCUGGAUAAGCACGUCCUCCACAAUACCACGAGGUAUUUUUGUGGACCGAUCUGCAAGUUGUAACACCACUGGAGUUGGGUGUAAUUCUCCCAGUCCAAGUUUCACGAAUACAGAGUAAGGUAACAAAUUUACACUAGCUCCUAAAUCCAACAAAGCAUUCUCAAUUGUGUGGUUCCCUAUACUACAUGAGAUAGUGGGGGAGCCUGGGUCUUUGCAUUUUAAAGGAAUUUUAUGUUGGAGUAUAGAACUAACGUUUUCUGUUAAAAAUGCCUUCUUUUGAACAUGCAUAUUUCUCUUUUUAGUACAAAGGUCUUUAAGAAACUUGGCAUAAGAUGGAAUUUGUUUUAUAGCAUCAAGCAAAGGGAUAUUGACACUUACCUGUUUGAAGAUUUCGAGAAUCUCACCUGUGGAUUUUCCCUUCUUGCCUUUAGCUAACCUCUGAGGAAAUGGAGCUUUCGGAAUAUAUUCUCGUGGGUUGGUUUCUUCUCUCUCCUCCGGUGGUGAGUCCUCAGCAUUUACAGGUACAAUUUGAUUUUCUUUUGUCACCUGCAUCUCCACUUUAUUGUCGACUUCUUUUCUUUUUCUCAAGGUCAUUACUGCUUUGACCUCUCCAUGCUGCUGUGGUGAACUGGUACUUGCUUCAUGCACUCCUUUAGGAUUAGGCACUGGUUGACUCGGAAACUUGCCUUUCUCAACAGUCAUUGCCAAGGUCUGAACUGAAGAAGCAAGCUGUCCCACCAUCUUCUCGAGGCUUGAAACUGAUUGGGCUUGUGAAUUGAAGCCCGCUCUCAACUCAUUUCGUAGUCCAUCAAUGGUGCGAUUCUGUUGCUCAAUCGUGGAGUGAGUAACAUUCUUGAAAUUCUGGAAUGCAUCCUCCCAUGGUCUGGGUUGAGAGUAGUUCUGGUUUUGAUUGUAUGGUCUAAAUGGUGGCUGAGAGGCUUGAGGAUUUUGAGGAAUUGGUUGCAUUGGUGGAGCUGGAGCUGCUGGUCCAUUCUGUUGAAAUCCUUGAGACCAUGAAAAAUUGGGGUGGUCUCUCCAUCCAGGAUUAUAUGUGUUGGAGUAUGGGUUGUAAUUAGAUGGCUUUCUCAUUACACCUAUGGCAUUGGCUUGAUCGGAGUAUGAGUCAUGGUCAUGUGGUUCUGUUGAUUUAGCAGUCGAUAACGAUGCUAUUUGUCGAGCAAGACCUUCAACCAUCUCCUUGACUUCUUUGAUUCCCGAAGUUGACUCGCCAAUGUGAACCUCAUUCACUCCUUUAAUCCUUCUAGUAUUCCUGAGUGAUCGACUCCGUUGUUGGGAAUUAUCCGCUUGUCGCUGGAAGAAUUCCCAAAUCUCUGUUGCGCUUUUUGACAUUAGCUCUCCUCCACUUGUUGCCAUUAGCCAUUCUUGCACAUUCGGCAAUAAUCCCUCCAAAAAGUAUUGGCAUUGGUGCCAUUUUUCGUACCCAUGAUGUGGACACUUCAAGAGUAGUCCAUUGAAUCGCUCCCAAGUUUCGAAAAACUGCUCGUCCUCUCUUUGUGUAAACUCUGAAAUUUCCCUGCGAAUAGAAUUGGUUUUAUGCACUGGGAAAUAUUUAUUUAGAAAUUUUGUUACCAUUUGUUCCCAUGAUGAAAUGCUAUUGGCAGGCAAUGUAUUAAGCCAUGAACGAGCUCUAUCCUUUAAAGAAAAUGGGAAUAGUCUAAGUUUUACAUCAUCAUCUGAAAAAUUUUCAUAUUUAAAAGUUUGACAAAUAGCAUGAAAAUCAUUCAAAUGAUUAUAUGGGUCCUCAUUUUCUAGGCCAUAAAAUGUGGGGAGACAAUUUAGCACACUAGGUUUUAAUUCAAAACUCCUAGCAGCUACAUUUGGGUAUCUUAUGCAUGAUGUGCUCAAAUUAGCUAAGGGACUAAAAUAGUCCUUAAAUGGCCUCUCCUGUGGUGCUUGUAAAUCCAUUUUAUUUUUAACGUGUUUGUGUGUGCGAAGUGUUUUUUCUAAUUCAAGGUCUAUAGGUUCAAUAUUAGGUAAUAAUGACCUACGACCAUGCAUGCAAAAUAAAUAAAAUAAAAAUAAAGAUGCAAACAAAACAAAAAAUAAAGAUGGGAACAAAACAAAUAAAAAAUAAAGAUGAGAACAAAACAAAUAAAAAUAAAGAAGAGGGAGAAAUUACGAUACUAACCUCAUUGCGCUAUUACAACCUUACUAUAAAAAUACACAAAAAUAAAUACGUGAAAUAAAUUAACUAAAAAUUAAAUUAAUAAGAUAAACAAAAAUUACAAAGAAAAAAUAAAUUGAAAAUUAAAUUACAGAAUUUUAAAGAAGAGAAAAAGAAAAGAAAUACUAACCUUUAAAUGUAGAUUUACUCUUUUUUUUUAAAGAACAAAAAAAAAAAAAAAAUACAAGAAAACAAUUUAAAAUAAAUUAUUCACAAAAAUUAAUUCUAUGAAUUAAAACUACUUACCUCCCCGGCAACGGCGCCAAAAACUUGUUGUGCAAAUUUUAAUGUACUCGCAAGCGCACGAAUCUAUUGUAGUAUAGAUCAAUGGUGACGAGUGUCGAUCCCACGAGGAGGUGGAUUUUAAUUGUGUAUAGAAUUAAUUUUGUAAAUGGGUGGUUGGAUCUGUGGUGGAAAUGAAUUGGAAUAUGCUAAAACUUAAAUUAAAAUGGCGAGAAUAAAUUCUAAAAUUGGAAUUGCAAUGGCGAGAAUAAAUUGAAGAGAAAUGUAUUGAAAUGACGUACUUGGGUAUCUGGAUCCGUAUCAACAUGCAUCAUGGGCUAAAUAAUCCGUAUUAAUGCCAAUUAAAUCAUGAGGGGGGAAUCCACACCUCAUGAACCACGCUCUAAUCAAUAUGGUGCUAAGGGCUUAUCGUGCCAAAUAAUAAUAACCUUAUACUAGAGAGCCGGUGUAACCAAGGCGGUAUCUAGACAAGAUCAGUAUUAUUUGUCGACGAUAAGUCAAAUCAUCCACAAAAACUAGAGGGGAAAAGAAAAUAAAUUUACCAAAUAAAGCCCAUGACACAUGUUGAGACUUCACCUUCAACCCAAGCUUGAAAGGAAAUUAGCUACUCAUAAUUGAACUAGGGGCAAAAUGAAAAUUUAUUAAAAUACGAAGAAAAUACAAGAUGGAGAAGGAAUUACAGAAAAUGGAUCCCAAAAAUGGAUUCAGAGAUAUCAAAUUAGGGGGGGGAGGCCCCUUUUUUAUAGAUACAUGGAGUAAAUCAUGGCCAUCGGAUUAAAAACAGUUUGGACGCUCAGGAUUGCGCCACGUCAUCAGUCAACAGUCCACGGUUUGACCACGCGGAUGAACAGUAACACGGUUUGACCACGCGGAUGAACAGUAACGCGGUUUGGUUGAAAAUAAUCCUGUGUGAUGCAUGCACCGUACGCGAGAUUUUUCGUCCACUGAUAUGCUGCCACGUCACCAUCAACAGUACAUAAGAAUUUUAGUCCAACAGGAUCGUGACACCUCAUCAGUCAAUGCCACAUCAUCGGUCAAUGCCACGUCAUCGAUCCGUCUAUGUGAACAGUGUCGUGAACAGUAACGUAGACAGUACCGUAUACGUGAAUAGUACCGUACAUGUGAAUAGUGCCAUUUUUCUUUUUAUGCCCCUCCUAAGGUUUUCGACCGUCCUGAGUUCAAAAGUGAUGUCCGUUUUGCCAUCUGAUCUCUCCUUUAUUGUGAAAUAACUAUAAUGCCCCUAAAAUACAUAAAAUACUUAAUUAAAAUAAAACACAUGUAAUUAAAUCACAAGAAGGUUAAAUACAUAAAAGUAAGGGUUGUUAAUAAGACUUGAAAUGUAAAAUGACGGUUUUCUCCUUUAUAAAUAUGCAUUUUCUAACACUCAACACUAGUGAGGUUCCAUUUAGGUGUAUUGGGGUUGUGGGUUUUGUGAGUUUUUUCCACUUUUGUAAAUUCUCAUUAUUAGUAAAAUUAUCUUCCAAUCUUUGCCCGUGGACGUAGGCAUUAUGCCGAACCACGUAAAUUAUUGUGUUUAUAUUUUCUUUGUAUUUGUUUGGCACAUUUAUAUUUCUCCAAAAGUUACAUUCAUCGUAAUAUUGGUAAUUGCUCAACCUCGCACUUCCGCAACAAUUGGUAUCAGAGCAGAAGGUUCGUGCUUGGGGCAUACAACAUUGUUCACGUAUACGGAACUGUUCACAAAUACGGUAUUGUUCACGUAUACGGUAUUGUUCAUUGAUAUGGUGGAGAUGGUCAUUUAUACUUGGGAGACAGUCUAUUGAAAGUAGUGUGUAUUUUUUCAUGUCUAGGAAAGUCCUGUCAACAAGGCGAUAAAAGCUUAAGGAGUCUGGUUUUAAGUGGGACCGUUGUGACCCCUCCAUUCUCCUAGGAACUUUCCUGGUGCAUUUAUUCAUGCGAAAUAAAUAUCAUAGAGGCUAUUUUUCAAGUGUAAAUAGUUGUUGAAGAAACUGAUCAUUUGAGAUAAAAAUGAUGGCAGAGGCAUCGUCGUCGUCGUCGUCUUCAUCAGCAAGGACUACUGUGACUAAUGCAAAGUUUGAAGUGGAGAAAUUCAAUGAUACCAAUAAUUUUGGUAUGUGGCAAUGUGAGGUGUUGGAUGUCUUAUGUCAGUAAGAGUUGGACGUUACUCUUAAAGAAAAGCCUGACAUAAUGGAUGACAAGGAGUGGAUAAAGAUCAAUAAACAGGUAUGUGGUACUAUUCGCCUAUGUUUGGCUAAAGAUCAUAAAUACUUUGUUAUAAAGGAGACAUCGGCAAAGAAAUUGUAGGAGACAUUGGAAGAAAAAUAUAUGAAGAAAAGUAUAUAAAGAAAAGCCUUAAAAAUAAGCUUUAUAUGAAGAAGAAACUUUAUCUAUUCACAUAUACACCUGGCAUGUCGAUGAAUGACCAUGUAAAUUCAUUCAACAAAAUAUUGGCAGAUUCACUAAAUUUGGAUGAGAAAUUUGAAGAUGAAGAUAAGACACUGUUGUUUUUUAAUUCCCUUCCUGAUGAAUAUGAUCAUCUCACUACCAAUUUGCUUCAUGGGAAGGGCAGUGUCACAUUCGAUGUUGUAUGCAGUGCAUUGUAUAACUCUAAGAUCAGAAAGAAAGAUAGAAAAGAUCACAGAGAUACAGUUGUAGAAGCAUUAACAACUAAAAGUCGUUCACAAGGCUGUAAACUUGGAAAAAGAAGCAAGUCUAAAGGGAGACCUGCCAAAGAUGAGUGUGUUUUUUGUCGCGAGAAAGGACAUUGGAAAAAGAAUUAUCCUAAGUUACAAAAGGAUAAGGCUUCUUCUUAUGCAUGUGUAGCAGAGUAUGAUGAGGAGUCAGACUUUAGUCUGGUUGGCAUGACGUUGACAUGUUACUUAGAUGAGUGGUUUUUGUAUUCGAGUUGUGCUUAUCAUAUGUGUCCUAACAAGGGUUGGUUUUCUAACUUCAAGGAGCUGGACGGUGGAAUUGUUUUUAUGGGCAAUGACAAUGCCUGUAAAACCUUGGAAAUAGGUACAAUUCAAUUAAAAAAUCGUGACGGUUCAAUCAAAGUCUUGACGGAUGUUCACUACAUACCAAGUUUAAAGAAAAAUCUCAUCUCAUUAGGAGUCCUAGAAUCUAAAGGGCUCACAAUCACUCUGAGAGAUAGAUUAUUAAAGGUAGUAGCUGGCACACUAACGGUGAUGAAAGACACAAGAAGAAAUAACUUGUACUAUUUUCAAUGGAAUACAAUUAUUAGAUCAGCAUCAACAGUUUUUGGAAGAGAUGCAGAUUCAGAAGCAACCAAGUUGUGGCAUAUGCGUUUGGGACAUGCUGGUGAAAAAUCUUUACAGACUCUAGUGAAGCAAGGCUUAUUGAAAGGUGCAAAUUCUUACAAAUUAGAAUUUUGUGAACAUUGUGUUUUAGGCAAGCAGACAAUGGUAAUGUUUAGUUCAAUAAUUCACGAUACAAACUUCCUCGGGGGAGCAUUAAAACCUUCGAGCAGAUGUGCCAGGAAUUUGCAGAGCAGUUUCGUGGGGCAAUGGCACCAGAAGAUGCCAUGAUGGAAUUGAAAAACAUGAAGCAGGGGGAAUAAUAAACACUUCGGGAAUUCAUCAAGAGGUUUUACCAUGUUGUCCUUGAUUUGGGAGCCUUCAACCAUCCUCAGGCAUUAAGGGGACUGAAAGAAUGGGUGAAGAUAGGAAGACUGUGGUACAACUUGAGAAGCCCAGUUAUUCAGACGUACGCCGCCGCAUACAAGCAGGCUAAGAGGGACAUUGAGAUUGAAGUGGAAAAGGCAGCACGGAUCAAGACAGACCAGUUAGAUGGGUUGGGGAAGAAAGAGAAGAAAGCAUUGCCAGGGAACGGGCCGAUCAGGAGGAGAGACCUUCAGGCCUCAAGUAGUGGAGCAGGAGAUCGGGUAACUACUGGCCAUCCUCAUCAGAGGCCACCACAGUAUCGGCGCAGCAGGGCGCAACCUCCUCGUUCCCCAGCUAGGGAGCCUUGGAGAAGCCAUGACUCGGCAUAUGGUGGUCUUCAUCAACACUCCCACGGUAGUAGGGGGCAGACCAGAAGUGCUGCCACCGCCUCCAACUCAGAACGGAGCAAAUAGAGAAAAAGCAGUGCACCUGAUCGACCAGAACCAGGACUAUGGGCAGUACACUUCCUUAAAGAUGUUCCUGGACGAGGUGUACGAGGCCAUAAAGGAUCGAGGGUUGCUAUACCUCCCUGCCUCAAUAACAAAACUACCCAGCAGGAGGGAUAAGGGACGCUAUUGUAAGUUCUAUGGCGCGCAUGGCCGUACUACAACAGAAUGUAGAGAUCUAAAGACCCAGGUCGAAGAUUUGGUGAGAAAUCGAUACCUGGACGAGUUUAUAGAGGGGACUUUCCCGAUGGUGGCCUCGACAUGCGAGGGGGAGCAGAGUGGCAGAAAUUUGAGGCACGAGUAGCCUACAGUAAGGGUGAUUGCUGGGGGCCCGACAUUGGCUGGAGAUUCCAACAGAUCUAGGAAGAACUAUGCUAGAUACGCCAUGACUAGUAAAGAGGUAUUCUUCAACACCCCGGCAGCCAAACGAGCAAGAGUCAGGCAAGUGCCAAUCAUGUGGACAGACGAGGAUGAAAAAGGGAUUUUAUACCCACACGAGGAUGCCUUAGUCAUCAAGGCCACUGUUGCUAGCAGGAAGUUUGACCGGAUACUAGUCGAUAUAGGAAGCUCGGUUGAUGUGUUGUUCAAGUCCACUCUAGAGGAGAUGAGAAUAGCAGACCUGAGGUUGGAGCACACCAACACCUCCUUGAAGGGAUUUGGAGGAGGAAAGCUGGUCCCCCUGGGUGUGGUCGAGCUGCCUAUCACAAUCGGAAGCUCCCCGACAGAAAGGACUAUGAUACUAGAUUUUGUGGUGGUUGAUGAAGAGGGUCCUUACCAGAUAAUCCUAGGUCGGCUGUUUCUGAGGAUGAGUAAAGCAGUACUGUCCAACCAUUAUCUUGCUCUCAAGUACCGGGUGAAUGGGGUAGUUGGAGUGGUACGAGGAGACCAGAGAAUCGCACGAAGCUGUUACUCCUCGGCAGCAAAGGAAUCGAUACAGAUAACAUCCCUUGAUACCCGAGUGAAAGCCAGGAAUGGCAACUUAUUGGACUCGGAGUUUACAAGCUGGUUCGCAAGGACGGCCACGAGGUGAAAUGCCCAUGGAACGCAGCACACCUCCGAAAAUACUUCCAGUAAGACUUGUUCACAUUUGAAAGCUAUUUCUGCUCGUGUUCAUUAUCGUUUAUCUUUUAUGUUUUAUAUCCAAACAAUUUCAUGUAAGUCGAAUCCUGCCAUUAAUGGAACGUCGAGGAAUUUCAUUCGCUUGAAACUGUGAAAAUUUCCUAAGGCAUGCAAAGGCUCGUCAAGUCUCAAAGCCUGUUUAUGGCGAGACCAGAAGCCAAGCGUGCCAGGAUCUGCUCGGCCACGAGAAGGCGAGCAGAAUCCCAAGCUUUGAAGAAAUUACCUAAGGCAUGCAAAGGCUCGACAAAGUCUCAAAGCCUGUUUAUGGCGAGACCAGAAGCCAAGCGUGCCAGGAUGUGCUCGGCCACGAGAAGGCGAGCAGAAUCCCAAGCGUUGAAGAAAUUACCUAAGGCAUGCAAAGGCUCGUCAAGUCUCAAAGCCUGUUUAUGGCGAGACCAGAAGCCAAGCGUGCCAGGAUCUGUUCGGCCACGAGAAGGCGAGCAGAAUCCCAAGCGUUGAAGAAAUUACCUAAGGCAUGCAAAGGCUCGUCAAGUCUCAAAGCCUGUUUAUGGCGAGACCAGAAGCCAAGCGUGCCAGGAUCUGUUCGGCCACGAGAAGGCGAGCAGAAUCCCAAGCUUUGAAGAAAUUGCCUAAGGCAUGCAAAGGCUCGACAAAGUCUCAAAGCCUGUUUAUGGUGAGACCAGAAGCCAAGCGUGCCAGGAUCUGCUCGGCCACGAGAAGGCGAGCAGAAUCCCAAGCUUUGAAGAAAUUAUCUAAGGCAUGCAAAGGCUCGACAAAGUCUCAAAGCCUGUUUAUGGCGAGACCAGAAGCCAAGCGUGCCAGGAUCUGCUCGGCCACGAGAAGGCGAGCCGAAUCCCAAGCUUUGAAGAAAUUGCCUAAGGCAUGCAAAGGCUCGACAAAGUCUCAAAGCCUGUUUAUGGCGAGACCAGAAGCCAAGCGUGCUAGGAUGUGCUCGGCCACGAGAAGGCGAGCAGAAUCCCAAGCUUUGAAGAAAUUACCUUAGGCAUGCAAGGGCUCGACCAAGUCUCAAAGCCUGUUUAUGGCGAGAUCAGAAGCCAAGCGUGUCAGGAUCUGCUCGACCACGAGAAGGAGAACAGAAUCCCAAUCAUUGCAGAGAUUACCUAAGGCAUGCAAAGGCUCAUCAAGUCUCAAAGCCUGUUUUAUGGCGAGACAGAAGCCAAGCGUGCCAGGAUCUGCUCAACCACGAAAAGGUGAGCAGAAUCCCAAUCCUUGAAGAAUUGAAGGCAUGCAAAGGCUCGUCAAGUCUCAAAACCUGUUUAUGGCGAGACCAGAAGCCAAGCGUGCCAGGAUCUACUCGACCACGAGAAGGCGAGCAGACUCCAAAGCAUUCGAAAAAAUUCCUAAGGCAUGCAAAGACUCACCAAGUCUCAAAGCCUGUUUUAUGGCGAGACAGAAGCCAAGCGUGCCAGGAUGUGCUCGACCACGAGAAGGCGAGCAGACUCCGAAGCAUUCGAAAAAAAUUCCUAAGGCAUGCAAAGGCUCACCAAGUCUUAAAGCCUAUUUUAUGGCGAGACAGAAGCCAAGCGUGCCAGGAUCUGCUCAACCACGAGAAGGCGAGCAGACUCCGAAGCAUUCGAAAAAAUUCCUAAGGCAUGCAAAGGCUCACCAAGUCUCAAAGCCUGUUUUAUGGCGAGACAGAAGCCAAGCGUACCAGGAUCUGCUCGACAACUAGAAGGCGAGCAGACUCCGAAGCAUUUGAAAAAAUUCCUAAGGCAUGCAAAGGCUCACCAAGUCUCAAAGCCUGUUUUAUGGCGAGACUAGGAGCCAAGCAUGCUAGGGUCUGCUCGACCACGCGAAGGCGAGCAGAAUCCCAAGCAUUGAAGAAUUUUCAAAGGCAUGUGGCAAAACCAUGUGCCAAGCCAGAACCUGCUCGACCAGACAAAGACGAGCCGAUUCUCAAACGAAAAAUAACUCAUGAUUACGACACAAGAAAGUAAUCAAAAAUAUUUUUAUUAAUUUGUUAAUAAUUAACAGAGGAGAUAAUCUUCACAAACAUUGUUCAUUACAAUACAAGAAACAUAUUUAAGAAGAUGGUGGGUCCGCAAGCCGAGCAUCCUCAGUUAGAUGGUCCACCUCAGGUGCUGGGGGAGUAUCUCCAGUUGCGUCUGGGGGGGUACUCGCCUCACCAGCAUCAGCAGGGAUUACACGGGGAGGAGAGUUUUCCUCUUCUAUCACCAUUGGUGCCACCUCUUCGGCAUCCUCCUUUGCAGCCUCCUCGUCCAUAUGUUGGGCGACACCAGCUGCAAGGUCGUCCAUCUUUAGAUCAGGAUGCUGCUUCCCGAGGACGGCCAUGAUGCAACGAUAAGAAUGCCGAAGUCCCUGGUCGUACUGGUUGUCGGCCUCCUUCUCCAAGUUCUCGACCUGACCUCGGUGGGAAUCGCGGAGGGAUUCGAGCUGAGCCUCAUACAUAGCCUUCUGCCUUUGAAGAUCCUCCUUGACCUUGGCCAGCUCUUCCUCGAGAGUAAUAGCCUUGGCUUGAGCAAGAGAUUCUCGCUCAAUCAACUUCAGAUUCUCGAGGUUUAAGUCCCCUGCUUUCUUCUCAGCAACAUCAGCUCUGGUCGUCGCCGACUGAAUGUCCUCCUUCAUCUUCCUAUCAUAACGGCCAACCUUGGCCUUAUAGUAGGUGGUCAUGCAGCUGAGAUGGAAAGCGCUAUACUGCAUGGCCCCCACCAGCUCGCCUAAGGUGUAGCCAUCAAAGUCCUCGAGGUCCUUCUUGCUCACGAUUUUGGAAAGCUCGUUGAGAUAGGGGGCCAAGUGUUCUGCUCGGCUGUCAGGUAAACGAGAUCUAUGCCCGACAAGAGGCGAAGAGGAAGCAGGAUCAGUGGCUGCUCCACUGGUCUCGUCGAGUUUGGCAGAAAGAAGAGGUAAAGUCUUCAAGGGAGAGACCUGCUGCACGAUGUUGGCCCGCUUUGCAGUAGGGGCAUCCUUGUUCUGGUCCCUCUUCGUGGUUUGGGGUCGAGAACGUUUCCUGUUUAGAGCCCCAAUCACGGCGUCCUCCAUCUUAUGACCAGGGAGUAUCAAGCGAGACUCGAGCAAGUUGUAUGUAGUUAUCAGCUCCCGGCUCGAGCAGGAAUUGGCUAGCACAGCCUCGACCCGUUUGAGCUGGCCAGGUUUGAGCGAGAAAUGAACACCCCAAGAAACUACAACACAAACAGACACUUGGUUAGAGACAAACCAACAAAGCGAGAACAAUUACGGAUACAAGACAUCUAAAGCGAACAGGCAACCUGGGACCGUGAAACGGGGUGGAACGCGAUAAUCCUUCCCGUCUAUUUGUGCAACUUGACCCCAAGGACCCCCAGCAAAAAAGAAUUUCCUCUUCUAAUUCCCACCACCACCAGUAGGGAGGUCGGUUAUGGGUUUCCUGGUCUUGGUACUAGAUUGAAAGUAGUACCAGCCGGCAUCUUUGGGGCUGCUCUUUAGCUGGUACAGGUGCUUCACCUCAUCAACUGUGGACUCGCUUUGGCAACAUCUGUCCCACAAUAUGAACAGACCAGAAAGUACUCUCCAACCAUUUGGGUUCAGCUGACCAGGAGAUAGAUUCAGCCCGUUAAGUAUCCGGGCAAAGUAAGGUUGCACGGGACACCUCAGCCCAUACUUAAAACUAUCCAGAUACAGGGUAACGUAUCCCCUAGGAGGCCGGCUAGGAGUAUCCUUCUUUCCUGGGACCUUAAGAGGGAUUUCACCAGGAAUACUAUACCUAAGCCGGAGGUCAUUGAGCUCAUCAAACGUGGUUAUGCAUGUCAUGUAAUCAAUAGCGUAAUCCCGCGAUAGGGCUCUACCUCCUAUUGUACUCCGCCCUUCUGGUCGCGACGCUCCUGAUGGGGACACCUCGCCAGAAUCAUCUCCUCGGCCCUCACUCAGGGUGUUCUCCGAGCCAGAAGACCCCUCUUCAUCACUAUCUCUGCUCGAGGAGGUCGUUUACGGAGACAUCCUCCUAGCGCUAGUGCCGACACUAGAUCUAAUGGGCUCUAAGGGGAUCCCGGGGUCAAAAGCAGGAUCAGUGAGCAGACUAGGCAGGAAGUCCAACUCAUCGUCGUCAACCUCAAUGACCUUCUCUUUACCUUUCGACAUUCCCUAAACUCUAACCACAACACCACCACCAACUACUACCCGAACAAAAGAGAACAAAAAUUAUCUACAACUAUCCGAGACCAAGGAGAUAGAAGAAAUACCUGAAGUAAUGGUUCAGUCGGUGAAAGACAGAGAUGGAGGCCUUUAUGCCGGAACUUCUUUGCCGGAGAGACAGGGACGGAGACAGAGGGAAUGAUGAAUUUGCUGUUUGAAAGGAUUUAGGUUUCCUAAUGGGGACGGCCUCUUGGGUUGCCAGCAUUUAACGGCACCAAAUCCCAAGGGCCUCGUAACCGUUGGUUUGAAAUUCGAAUAGAGGGGCAGAUUUCUGCCACAUCACCUCGUCCGCAAUUAAAUGCGAUAUGACUCUUGGCAGCCUUUUCCAGUCCCACGCGACCAAGAACCGCUAAGUUUCUACUGCUGGUCCAUUACAUUACCCAACACCAGAAACUGGGGGACCGGUGUUUGAGGGAAAUACUCUGACGAGACCAGACGUGAUGAGCAGAUGUUUGGUGGUAGAAGUCUGCGAGCAGGUGUGUCCUGUAAGAGCCAGGUAGCAGGGGAACAGGGGCAGGAAUAUCCUGCUCAUCCACGAGCACGUCAUCCGCGAGGCCAAUUUCCUGUAAGAAGCAUAAAGCCAUUCCUGCUGUAUUCUUGCUAAGGGUUGAUUCGAGGAGACCCGGUCAACGACAGUUGGCGAGGCAUGCUCUCCAGCCCGAGAAUCUAGGCACGAAGGCCACGCAACCACCCACGACUACGGAAAUGGGGAAUCCACGUUCGAGAGGUGGGAGGAUAACGGACGUAGACUGCGGAAAACUGGGAUUCAGAGGAAGCCUAUAAAAAUGUAGCCAACGAAGGUAAAAUGGUUAGCAAUUUUGAGAUUAGAAGGGAGAUAAAGAAAUUCUAAAGAAGAGAAAACUACCCAAAAGCCAUAAGAUCUGUGGCAAGCGUUCCCCGAACCUUCAUAUCUGACUUGAGCGUCGGAGGGUUUGCGUCGGGAAAACAACCGGCGUACUCUGACUUGUCUGUGUGCGCAGGAACCUCUGGAGAAGAAGCUUUACGAGGAGAGAUCCUGGUCGUGGUGAAGUUGAUCGAGCAGAGACCCUGGUCGUAGAACGAGGAGAACCAGAAUCUCGCAUCAACAAAACGUGUAUUUCAACCUGAGUACUAGCGAUUACCAGUGACUGAUUAACACUUGUUUUAAUUGUAUUCAGCAGUCAUAAAAAUUUACUUUUUCUUGUUAUUUAUUUAUACCACACAUUUUGACUACCACAAACUUAAGUUGCUUGGCUGACGUAUUUACCACAAAUAAAAACUAACAUUCGAGGUUUUUCUUUCGACAUUUCUAUAGAUGUUUUAACAUUUUAGAUUACAAUAUUUUUCAAAACUUGAUUUAGUCACUGAUUGUUGACUACGACGACGACAAAAAAUCUAUUUCGUUGUGAAAAGGAAUCCACAAGAGUACAAGACGGAGCCUUGAUCCAGUAAUAUUACGGAAAAUGGUAUUUUGUUUCCUUACAAAUGAAGAGAGGUUCUGUCUUUGCAGUGGGUAAGGUGAGGGUAUAGAACAUAUUAAUGGCUUUACUUAUCAUCAUCAACUUCCUUCUGUGUCUCUCAAUCUUUGUCUUCUUCUUUGUUUUGCAAAGGAACAUAACCUCAAGAAAUAAUACUAAAUUACCACCAGGCCUCCGGGGCCUUCCUUUCAUCGGUAACGUGCACCAGCUUGAUGUCUCAAAGCCUCACGUGUUAUUUUGGGAACUGUCAAAAAAAUAUGGCCCCCUCAUGUCCUUGCGUCUUGGGUUUUCGCCAUCCUUAGUAGUUUCCUCGGCGAAAAUGGCUAAAGAGAUAUUACAAACCCAUGACCUUCAAUUUUGCAGCAGGCCAGCCUUGGUAGCACAACAAAAGUUAUCUUACAAUGGUCUUGAUUUAGCGUUUUCACCCUAUGAUGAAUAGUGGAGAGAGAUAAGAAAAAUUUGUGUCAUUCAUCUCUUUAACUCUAAUAGGGUACAAAAUUUUCGACCCAUUAGAGAAGAUGAAGUUUCAAGAAUGAUUGAAAAGAUUUCAAAAUCAGUUGGUGCUUCUAAUCCCGUAAACUUAAGUGAGGUAAUGAUGUCUCUUACCAGCACCAUUAUUUGUAGAAUUGGUUUUGGCAAGAGGUACGAUGAAGAUAAAGCAACAAGUGGAAGAAGUAGAUUCCAUGCCCUGCUUAAUGAAACUCAAGCCUUGUUUGUAAGCUUUUUUGUUACAGAUUAUUUUCCUUUCAUGGACUGGAUUGAUAACCUCAGAGGAAUGAUGAAACGCCUGCAAAAUAACUUCCAAGAACUCGAUGGAUUCUACCGGGAACUCAUCGACGAGCAUUUGGAUCCAAACAGAACUAAAUCAGAAUUGCCGCAACAGGAGGAUAUAAUUGAUAUUUUACUUCAAAUAAGAAAAGAUCGUGGAUUUAAAGCUGACUUGACUUUGGAUCACAUCAAAGCAGUGCUCAUGGUGAAUAAUUUUAUAAAUAGUUAUAUGUAGACCGGUGCUUAGGCACAGACUCAAAAUUUUGCGCAGAUACCCAAUUUUACAGUCUUGUAAAAUGUUUUAUAGUGCUGUCAAGUGCUCUCUGAUGUCCCCAUCUGAGCACGAUUAACUUAAUAUAGUUUUAUUUGCUUUAACUAAUCUUAUAUGUAUAUAUUUAUGUUCUUUUUUUUUUAAUUUGCUUUUUUAAGUAAUUUAAUAUGUAUAUAUGUAUGUUGUUUGUUUGGCAGAACG